This 83635-nucleotide long non-coding RNA is filed under the name Malus domestica (apple). RNAcentral describes it as "long non-coding RNA (MDOM_LNC010764)". The record is from RNAcentral. Lineage: Eukaryota; Viridiplantae; Streptophyta; Magnoliopsida; Rosales; Rosaceae.
GAAAGUGAAAGCCUGGAAUUGGCAACAGGAUUGUUAUCUUUUUAAUAACGUGUUAUUGUUCAAAAGUGGAGCCAUAUAAAUUUUUUAAUGGGUGAGCUAACUAAAGUUUACUUGUCAAAUAAUGAAAUUCCUUUUAAAACUAUUUUUUUUCAAAGACUCAUGCUAGAAUUCUACUCUUUAAUCUGGGAAAAAACAAUCCAACAAAGAAAAAUCUGGGAAAAAUAAUAUAGGUCUGUAACAAACGUUUCCAUUUUUAAUUGCUAUAUUGAUUUAUAAAUAAGAAAAGGGUCAUUAAGUCUCCUUAUUAUCUGCUAUUUUUCCAUAAAUCUCACAAGAAUUGGACUUGACAAGUUAAUAUCUGAGUUAUCUAUGGUUCUGGUCCCUUCCUCAGAACCCUAUUGGUUGUAUGCUUUAGAUUCUGUGCGGCUUCUGUCCAUGAAUCCAAAGAAGAUGUCUCGGGUCUGUGUGGAUUGGAGUGACUAUGUCUUUGACUCUGUUGCUUAUGGUGACAAGUUCCAUUUUGAGGAAUUAUGAAGCUAUGUUCCUCUCCUGCGUUUUAGCUUGAAAUUCGUUUGGAUAUGGCUUAUAGGGGAGUUGGUUUUAGGAAAGCACUAAUUUUGGGGGAGUAGAUCUCCUUUUAGGACUAUGUGUUGUAUAAUUUGUGCUUUACUUGGGAUUAUUUUUUAUGACAUGUGCUUAUUUGUCGUUCGUCUCAUUGUUACUACCCAUUGUUUGGGAGUACUUAUAUGAUCUGUUACUGAUGUUUAUCCAUUGUGCUUUAGCUGCUCAUGCAUUGUCUUAAUUGCUUAUCAUAUAUAUAUGCUUGAUGUUCUUGCGUGCGUUAUUUUGCCUUGAGACUUUGUCUUACCAUGACAAAAUGGGGGAGAAAGUUUGAAAGUUUGUGUUACAUUAAUUGCCAAUACUAUACCCAUGAUAAAUUUUACUUGUUCUUGUCAAGAGUUGCUUUUGUGCAGGAUUUGUUCCUUGGUUCUUCUCUCGAGUGUUGAGUGAGUCAAAUUAGUUUUAGGCUCCGGGUAAUUUGUCAAGGAAAGCCAAGGAAAGAGAUUGUGAAGUCUAGACUUACGUGUUUGGCUUUCCUUGUCAAUCUUGUAAUUAUGUAUGACACAUGCUUUUUGGAUCAAUUUUCCUUAAAUGAGACUUUAGUAUACUUGGUUCUAAAGUCUGGGUUAUGGAACAUCAAAGUGCAAAUGGUGUUGCUUCAUCACAAGCAAGGUUUGUACAUGCAUAUGCAUUUCACAUUUAAAUUUCUUAUGCAUUCUGGCUAAUGGUGUUGUCUGGUCAGAAUUGCUCGUUGUUUUCCAACUAAAUGGGCACACAAUUUAAGACAGCCCAUAUGUGCUGACUGACAGCUUAUAUCCGAGGUUGAAUCUAUGGCCCUUGAUCUGUUCAAAUUACAUUUGCAUUUGAGAAGUGUCAUUGUGGGUUGUUGGUUGCGGAAAAUCGUUUUGGGGUUAUUAGGGUUGUGGAGGUUUCACUUUGUUUUUUAGAGAGAUAAUAUAAUUUUUAGAGGGUCAUUGUUUUCCCUCUCCAUCUCAAAUCUAUCUAGAAGCAACAAGCAUUUUUCUGGGUAAUGUUCUUCAUUGAAUAUUUAUAAUUCUGUCAUGAAAAUUCUUGCUUACAUCUUCUUAGAAACUCAUUUGUUUUGGGUUAGAAAGCUUAAAAUUUUCAAGAGUGCAUUAAAAAGCUUUGUGCUUUCUCUUGUUUCAAGAGUGCAUUAAAAAGCUUUGUGCUUUCUCUUGUGUUCGUCACUUAAAACCUAGUUGCAUAACCUUUUCUUAUGCAUCAAAUUUGUGUAAACACUACACAUGCUUUAUGAGUUAAGGCUUGCAUUUUCCAUGGUCUAGUUGUUCGUAAGUUUCAAAUCUUUAAACAGACCUAGGUCGGAUUCACGUUGGUUUCUUUCUUCAACUGUUUGACUAGAAAAACUGAAGGCUGAAGACUUCUCCAUCUUGUGCAAAUGCCUUUAUUCACUCAAGUACUAAUGAGUGGUUUCUUUUUUCUUGAGAAAACGAUAUUAUCUAUAUUAAGAUGAAGGGGGUGAGCUUAACCUCACAAUGAGCUAAAAUUAAUGUGGUUCAAAUUCGCAUUUGGCAAGAUUCGAACGUAAAACCUCUCACUUACAAGUGAAGAGGAAUACCACUAGACUGUAGUACUAAGUGGUAAUAAUAAUGAAUGUUUAAUUUCAUUAGAUUUGAACGCUAACCUACCCCUAGGCUUUGCAAGUACUUUACAGGUGGUGUUGUGGGCAGCAAACACCCUUUUGAACUGUACAAUUAACCCAAUCGAUUUUUACAGAGGAACAACUACUUUUUUAUGGCAUUUUCGUAGUUUUGAGGGGAUGAAAGCUUGCAAUGUGGCCCAUCAAGCCACCAUCACCGGGUCAACCUCUCUUCUUUCCACCACCAUUUGGUCCACCUCUCCACCACAACAUAAUUCCCAGUUCUCAUAUUUAAGUUUUCUAAUCGAAGCUCUUAUUUAUAGGAUGUUAAACAUUGAAAAUAAUGCGUAUUGGAUGAAAAUUUUGGAUUCGCAAUAGACAUAGUUAUUGAUAUUACUUAUAGAAAACUAUAUAGAGUUUUCCCUUCUUUGUUCAUGUGAUGGUUUAGCUCAUAUGCAUAAGUAAUGAACAGAAUAAAGCCAUAGCAAGCGAUACCAUUUAUGAUUUUUCAUAUGGAAAAAGUAUCCUAUUGAUAAGGAUACUAUCAUAAAACAUUUUAAAAUUAUGAAACCACAUCAUAGACAAAUUUAGUCUUUGUAGUUUGUAUUGUCGUUUCGUCUAAAUUUAUUGAAACUUUUGUAUUGGGGCCACCCGACAUUAUAAUCAUGGAUCUGCCACUGCAUCAUAAGCAUAUUUAAAAAUAUAAAAAAAUAAAAAAAUAAAAAAAGCAAUCUCAAACUGGCCCUUAGAGAUUUAUAUAUACACAUAUUACUAUAUUAGUGUGUAUAAGUCCAAUCUCAGGGUAAUUCACCACUUGCAUAUACAAUUAUAUAUCUUAAAAUAUUACGUAGCUGUCACUUUUUCCAUUGAAAAAUAUAAUUUUGAGGAGAAGUUUUUGCUCAAACUUGGAAUUUUAUGAAAAGACCUUCAUUUCUCUAGAUCCAUCCCCACAAAAACAAUAGACAAAGACGCUAUUGAAAAAUUUACAAGUCAGUCAACAAAGAUUUUUUGAAAUACACGAUUGUAAUCUUGAUUCACCAACGCAACAAAGUGAAGUUAUUAUCUUUGAUUCACCAAGCCAUGAAAGGGAAAGCUUUGAAUUCGCCACCCAAUUGUUAUCAUUUUAAUUAACGUGGUAUUAUUAAUUGGUAAUAUUGAUUAUUUUUUGUGAGAUUAUUGAUUGAUACUCUUUUUUUUUUUGUCAAACGAUAGAUUUUGUUAGAUUAGCUAACGACGAAGUUUGAACCCACGUCAUCAUGUAAGAGCUCAAUAAGUCGCAACUUAUAGCCGCGCCGCCGCUAACACCACCGAGCCGAGCCUUGCUGCUGGUCUCUAGCCCAACAGUGUGGAGGACCUUGGGACAAUGUCGUUUGACUUCUGGACCACACGGCAGCAGCCAUUUGGGCUUUGCUGUACACGUAAAACACACCAGGCCCUCGGCCUGGUAGAGUUUCCUUGGGCCUCCAGCCCAGCCCAACUUCAAAAGAGGCCUGCAGCUCUCUUGGAUUUGUCUUACCAUGUCUCUGGCCCAAAAAAUCAGUAGCCCCAUGCUGCUAAGCCUUUGUCCUCAAGCCCAGCCCUGCUUACAACAAGCCAGAAGCCGGCUAGGCUUCACCCAAGCCUUCGGCCUAACUCACUAGCAGCUUAUGCUGCUAGGCUUGCCUUCCCCUCAGCCCAAAACCCAAAACCCAGCUUCGACUGGUCUUUCCCACACACCCAGGCCAGCCUCAUGCUGGGCCUAUCCCACCAUGCCCUGUUUGGCCCAAACUAGCAGCCCAUGUUGUUGGGCUCACCCCAAACCCACGGCCUUGAGGCCCAGUCCGUGGAUUGCAGCCAGCCCAAAUAAAGCUAGGUCAAAACCCUUUCUUGACCUUGUUUGUACCAUAUUUAGGUCCUCCGUAUUUAGACCUCGUAUAAAUACUCAGGGGACUCAAAUGUAAUUAUGUAAUAAAGGAAGGGGCAAAUAUGUAAUAAGUGAGGAGCCCUUAUUCUAUAAAAAUGACUCAUCACCUUCACAAUUGGGGGAGCCUCCUUACCCAUAGAGGCCUGACUCUCACUUCACAAACUCUCUCUCCCUCACCAUCAUCUUCAACAUCUCAGAGAAAUACAAUACUAGUGUAGACGUAGCCCAAACAUUGGGGUGAACCACGAUACAUCUUGUGUUAUUUACUUUCUUGCAGAUUCACGGUCGGAUUUUCGUUGUCCCAAGACCCCUCCGAUUUUGUGCAUCAACAUUUGGCGCCGUCUGUGGGAAUCGACACGAAAAGUUAUGUCGGUUCUCUUUCAUUUUUUUCACCUCCGCCGUGAAUCUGCAGAAAACCUCACUCUUUAGGCUUUUCCAGAAAACCUUUGCAGACUCUAUGCAGUUUUAAGAAACCAUCCAAAAACCCAUUUUCCAUCUCUCUCUCUUUUAUCUUUCUAGGCAACCAUGCCUCUCACAGAGAGCUCAACUGCAGGAGCAGAGCACAUGAAAUGAAGAAGACACAGACCCCACUAGCAAGCCUUUUUAGUGUGGUCAAGAUGCGCUGAGCUGUAGUGGAGUCCAACCCUGAGGUGGGCUCAUUCAGCAAAAUGGGCCCCAUUCGUGAAAAACGUUGCAAACUUGCAAUCUUUCAAACUUUUUCGCAUCUGGGUACUCCCCAAACUGGCUUUUUGAGCUAUUCUUUGAUCGGACCCAACACCUUCAAAGAUUCUGAGUAGAGCACCGGCCAUGUCGACAUCUCGGUCUUCAACCCCACCAAGCUCAACGCACAGAUCCGGGUCACCGACCCGACAUGGUCCUGCACCUCCGACUUGUUCACCUUGCGGGCCUCCACUCGCCUCCCCAUUUCCGCCCAGGAAGUCGUUGAGUCUUCUACUCCAGAUGGCUUCUACACUACCCGUGAGGCCACCCCCAUAUAAACAUCUCUCUCUAAGCUGUCUUCCAAUUAAACCACAAGCAUAGCAAAAUUCAUUCAGAUCCAUCAAUAUCAUUUUCUAUCUUUACGAAGCAGUGAUGUCAGUGUCUGAAGAAGCAGCGAUCUCUGUUUGGCUGCUGAAAACUAAGGAAAAUAAACUGCUCGAAUGAGGGAUUUGCCACUUCGGCUCGCCCUGCAACCAUCGCUCUCUAAAAAACCAGAACAUAAAAAACUUCAUCUGCAACAAUGGCGACGAAGAAUGCGAUGGAAGUCGUUAAGAACCUGGAUUUGCAGCGCUACAUGGGGCGGUGGUACGUCGACCUGGUUGUCGAUGUCUCGAAGCUCCAAUAGUUAUUCCCGUCCCGUCUGCUCCUUCCUUCUCCAUCUGAGGAGGUCAAUGAGGUUGCCAUCGAAGUAGAGCGAGAAAAUGAUGAAGGUGGCAUGGCAGGCGAAACAUUUACAAACUAUCGACCCUCCAAAACUAUCCAUUGGCCCUCCUCAUCCAGAUCCUGUUGUGGAAACAUCAUCCUUGGCUGCUGUGCAGCCACCUGAGCCCACUUACGAUAUGAAAAUCAAGGAUGAUUUGGAAAAUUUAAAGGCUUUGUCAUGUUUACAGAUUGAGAUAUUGGUCUACGCUUGUCAAAGACACCUGCAGCAUCUUCCAAAUGGUGAAAGGGCAAGAUUCUUCGUUGGGGAUGGAACUAGUGUGGGGAAAGGUCGAACAAUAGCAAGGUUAAUAUGGGAGAAUUGGCACCGUGGGAUGAGGAAAGCAGUCAUAUUGUACUCGGGUUUUCUCCUGCACCCAGAUCCCGUCAUGGCGCUCGAUCUCAGCUCCCUCACCUCUGUUAGGAGCUUCGUCUCCGAUUCCGGCAUUUGACUACAUCAGGGGUUAAGCAUCGAUCCAUGAGCUCACUGCUCUGUUACUUUAAACUGUCAUUCGGAGCUUUACCCAGCAACCAUGUGAUAAGUUCAAAAUACUCAACAAUAUUUUGGUAGAUCGGGAAAGCAAUAAUAAAAGCAAAUAGUCGUGGCUAUCAUGGCAAUGAUGGACUACUUUAUCGAGGACAUGGAAAAGGAGAAGCGUUUGUCCCAACCUACACCUCUGGGGAUAUGGUUGGAGGUGGUAUCAAUCAUGAUUCACAAGAAUUCUUUUCACUAAAAAUAGAGCCUUGGGGAUGGACUCGUGGACCAUGCAGCAGAAAAGAGAAAAAAAGAAAGCAAAAACAAGGAAUAAACACCCACACUGCAAAAGAAAGGAAUAAACACAUCACCAUAAUGAUGUGAUUUACUUUUCUAGUGUUUUUUAAUGAUGUGAUUUAUUUUUCUUAUCUUUCGAAGAUAUCUGUAUAAACCCCAUUAGAGGGUAAUAAAAAAAAGGAAAAAAAAAGGGCAAGCCCAAAGUAAUAGGCUAGAAUGUUAUGUGGAGGGCGAAGGCCCAUAUGCCUAAAAGAGCCAGGCCCUCUAUUACCACUAACCAGGUGAUCAAAAGUACGUCCAGUGCUACAAAAAUUAUUCGGCAGCCUGCCGCUAUUACCACCAACCAGGUGAUCAAAAGUACGUCCUACCACUAACCAGGUGAUCAAAAGUAAGCCCAGUACUCCAAAAUUAUUCGGCAGCCUGCCGCUAUUAUCACCAACCAGGUGAUCAAAAGUAUGUCCAGUACUCCAAAAUUAUACAUGAGCAUCAUUCAUGUCAAUCAUACAUAAGCAUUCAUGAGCAUCACUCAUGUCAAUCAUACAUAAACAUUCAUGACCAUCAUUCAUGUCAACAUUCAUGAGCAUCACUCAUGUUAACAUUCAUGAGCAUCACUCAUGUCAACAUCCAUGAGCAUCACUCAUGUCAAUCAACAUAAGCAUUCAUAAGCAUCACUCAUGUCAAUCUAGCUUCGAAAGCGUCAUUUAUAAAGCUCUAGCUUCAAAAGCUUCAUUUACAAAAGCUCUAGCUUCAAAAGCUUCAUUUACAGAGCUCUAGCUUCAAAAGCUUCAUUUACAAAAGCUUCAUUUAUAGAGCUCCAGCUUCAAAAGCUUCACUUGCAAAGCUUCACCUACAAAGCUUCAGUGCAGGGUAUACAAAUACCACUUCUGAACAACCGCCACUUCAGCCCAUACAUGGAUUCAAUUUGAAGUCUCCAGCCAACAGACUCUAUUGAUCGAAGACUUGGGGGACUACAUUAUGUACCAUAUAUUGGACCUCAACUAGGCCUCAUGAAAAAUACUUGGGAGACUUAGCCCAUUAUUUAUGUACUGAGGAGCGAGCCCUUAUUUUAUAAAAGGGACUCCCUCACUUUCAUUAAAGAGCACCCAUUCUUCAUAUACUGAGGAGCGAUCCUUUAUUUAAUAAAAGGGACUCCCUUACUUUUAUUAGAGAGCAUCGCUGCCAGCUGAGCAACCGUCUCGCCGCGAGCAUCACUCAUAACCCAUUGUUCAUGUACUGAGGAGUGAGCCCUUAUUUUAUAAAAAGGACUCCCUCACCUUCAUUAGAGAGCAUCACCGCCAGCUAAGCAACCGCCUCGUCGCGAGCAUCACUCUUAGCCCAUCACUUAUGUAUUGAGGAGGGAGCCCUUAUUUUAUAAAAGGGACUCCCUCACCUUCAUUAAAGAGCAUCACCGCCAGCUGAGCAACCGCCUCGCCACAAGCAUCACUCUUAGCCCAUCACUUAUUUAUUGAGGAGCGAGCCCUUAUUCUAUAAAAGGGACUCCCUCACCUUCAACGCCACAAGCCGAGUCAACCAAGGCAACAUAAGCCACAAACUGAGCAGCCUUGCAACAUGUGCUACUUCUAGUCAAUCAUCAGUUCAAGACAAACAUCUAGUUAUUUCGGCCCACACAUGGAUUGAAUUUCAAGUCUCCAGCCAAAAGACUCUCUUGACUGAAAACUUGGGGGACUACUGUUUAUACCAUAUUUAGGGUCUCUGUAUUUAGACCUCGUAUAAAUACUCGGGGGACUUAAAUGUAAUUAUGUAAUAAAGGAAUGGGCAAAUAUGUAAUAAGUGAGGAGCCCUUAUUAUAUAAAAGGGACUCUUCACCCUCACAAUUGGGGGAGCCUCCUCACCCUCAGAGGCCUAACUCUUACCUCACAAACUAUCUCUCCCUCACCAUCCUCUUCAACAUCUCAGAGAAAUACAAUACUAGUGUGGACGUAGCCAGUGGUGAAGCUACAGAGGGACUGGGAGGGUCCCCUUGCCGGAAAUUAAGCCCAUGAACGUGGUUCCGCCCCUCUAGUCUCGUCGGAAUGAAUGGCUGCACUGUAAUCUGCAGUUUCUGGGUUUCUGCUGCUGCACAGCAGCAACUUCUGUAAUUUUUUUUUUAAAUCCCUUAAAUGAAACGGCAUGCCGUUUCAUUUAGUAUUGAAAAAAAAAAUCCUUAAACAAACAACGCCGUUUCGUUAAUUGCUUAAAAAAAUAAAAAAAUUUAAAGGGGACCACUAUCCCCAUGCCUUCCAUUUUUCAAAGUAGACCUUCACUUUUUGAAAACCACCCCACUUUUUGAAAACCUCCAGCACAGCAGCCAACCUGAUGGGUUGGUUUUCCACUUCUCUCUCAAUUUUAGGUAAAUUUUGUAACUUUCUAAUUUAUAUUAUUCCUAACCCUAAUUGAUUAAUUAAUACAAAAUUUUAGUUAAUUAAUAUAGAAUCAUAGAGUAAUACACUAAUAUAGUUAUUGAUUUUUUAUUUUUGCAUAUAAAUAUGAAUCCUAUGAAUGAUUAUUAAUGAAUGAAAUUAUUGUCUAGAGUAAAAAUUGAAUUCUUGAUUAUUGAUAUUAAUCUAUUAAUUGAAUUUUUGUGUAUUAAAUAAUUUAUAUGAAUAUUGGUAUUAAUUAAUUGAAUUGUUGGUUUAAUUAGUUAGCACUCAUAUUGACUAUAGUAUAGCUUACUCUAGAAUUAAGAGUCUAAGAUUUUUUUUUUCUUUUUCAUAUAUAGUUAAACAAUGGAACAAUACUAUAAGAAACAAUGCUUAAAUCCUCCUUCAAAUAUUCCGGCUAGUCCUUCUUCAAAUAUUCCGAGUAGUCCUCCUUCGAAUAUUCCAAAUAUUUCUUCUUCGAGUAUUCCGGAUAGUUCCCAACAAAGUGAGGUCACUGAGUUUGAUGAAAUACUGGCUAAUCUUCAUGUAGACCCUAGACAUAGACAUUGAAUGCUUGAUUAUCCACCUAAUUAUCGUGAAGCAAUUCGCCGACAUUAUCUCCAAAACAAUCCUUGUCAACCUAAAGAUCACAUCAUGCCCAGAAAAGUUAGCAAUAAUCGAUGUUUUGUCACCCGUUGGUUUGAUAAUUUUAAGUGGUUGGAGUAUAGUAUAGUAAAACAUACCGCAUUUUGCCAUUAUUGCUAUCUAUUCAAGUGUGAUUUUGAUAAAGAGGGAAAUGCCGGAAGUGAUGUCUUCAUUGAGAUUGGGUUUACAAAUUGCCGGAAGUUCGCCCCUCCCCCCGAUAAAUCCUGGCUUCGCCACUGGACGUAGCCCAAACAUUGGGGUGAACCACGAUACAUCUUGUGUUAUUUACUUUCUUGCAGAUUCACGGUCGGAUUUACGUUGUCCCAAGACCCCUCCGGUUUUGUGCAUCAACAAACCUAAUGCCAAUUUUCGGAAUUCCCGUGUUAUAAAUUAUACCCAUUUAAUUUUUGGGGUAUUUUGGUUUACGCUAAUUAAUUUUAAUAUAAUUGUCACUUGGACUAUUGCCAACCAAAGUUAAUUUGACAAGUCUAUCAUUACUUUGCUUCCACGAUCGACCCCGUUUGGUCCUGAUCUGUUGGAUUAAUUAAAAGUUACCAACAGUCCAUUAAUCUGACAAUUAAUCCAAAACUAUUGACUUGAAAAUCACUUUUGGACAUUAUCGAUUCAAUAAUUUAUUUUUCUACUUUGAACCGUUAACAUUCUUUAGUAGUCCCAAAGCUCUCACACUUGAAUUCUCGAAGCAACUCAAAUCCACUACACUUAAAUCAGCAUAUUGUACUAUGUGUUCUUGCAUGAACCUCUCUUUUAUGAACUAAAUGUUCAUAAACUAAAUUGAACCUGCAGUUCAAAUUUAAUGCCUUUGAACCUGAAGUUUUCAUAAAACAAUAAACUCAUGAAAACCCGAAUUUUUCAUGUAUACCAUGUCUUAGAACCUGAAUGUUCUAACUUUGAUCGUUAUGGAUAUUUUAUUUCCUAUAGCAUUAUUCACAAUCUUGUUCCCUCCAUUUAGUGGAUUGUUGAACUGUCACAAGUUCGAUCUCACUGAUUUGGACGUUUCUAACAUAAACCACUUUAUGUGGGUACAAGAUGUGAAUCACCACUUAACUAUCAAGAAGCUGACAAACCAUUGUAGACAACAAUGGCAUGGAAGAGCAAAUCUCCACUUAACUAUCAAGAAGCUGAGAAAACAUUGUAGACAACAAUGACAUGAAAGAGCUGAAUAAGCCUCCGCCACGAUCUUUAUUCAAAGACAUUCCCGGAUAAUUACAAAGGGAAAUACCUCCCGAACGAGGAUUCCAUGGCUCUUGGCUCGCUUCUACGGACCAUUUAAUCAUGAAAGAUAUUGUCUGAAGCACACCAUGAUUACGUCCAUGAAUGAGCAUGGUUAUGAAGUUUAUAAAUCCGAUCGAAUUUUGAUUGGAGAAUACUUUUCUCAUCCUUCCAAGUUUCUAACUUACUCAUGAAGUAGCAAUGUAGAGAACGGAAGUUUACCAAGUUUUUGGAUCUGAUUACUACCACAAAUAUGAGAGAACAAUAUAGAUUCGGCUAUAGUCUACCGAAUGGUGGUGCCCUGCUUCGGCAGGGAUGCACCAAAGGUCAUGCUUUGUUCAGCAUAGGUGCACCAAACGGUAUUGCUCUAGUUCUACAGAGGCCUACCGAACAGACCCCUCCAACUUAGGCUGGAGCCUAUCGAACCCAAGUCUGGGUGUGUCUGUCACAAUCCAAUUUCGAGUUUGUUUUUACAACAUAUGGUAGAAUCAGGAAUUGCCAAGGUGUGACAUCAUGCUCGAAGCGUGAUCAUUGGCACCUAAGACCUAAAACUUCAAGAAUAACGGAUAAUAUUCUCGAACCUUAAUCCUGCAAAAUCUACUUCUGUCUCGAUGGAAUAGAUCAUUGGUUAUGGACCUGUUCGUGCCUCCACCAAUUUCGUUGAGGAGCACCAUUCUCGUAGUCAAUAUGUGAAACUAAUUUUCCUCCACUAACACCGUUGGAAAAGUAGAAUUUUGAUAUGAAUGGCCUUGUUGGCCGAAUCCCCUUAGUAAUUUUGAUUUACUUUGUGAACUUUUUUCUAUGUUCUUGGAUUCUAGUUUGGUGUUUGUUUUAGUUAUGGGUUAUCUUAUUGAUAUUGUCCUUGAAUAUGAGUUAAUUGAAUCAUGUUUCUUGUAUACAUGUGACCAAAUUCAAUUAAACAUGUGGUUAGGUAUGAAUGUGGGAAAGUUAGUUGUCUGGAUGAAUGCGAUACUACGGACACUAACUUUAUACCUAAAUCGCAUCUCUAGCAACAACUUCAGGUCUAACCAACCUGAUUAAGAGCAUUGGCACACUCCUCGUUGUAUGAGUGGUACUAAAUUUCAAGGGUUCACCACCCUACUUAUUCCAUAAAGUCUGGAAUACCGGAUAAUGUCGGAGACUUUAUAUCGAAGAUGCUUCGAUAAGUAUUGCAUGUCUUUCGGGUUCAUAAUUAGACAUCGAAUUCCCAUGUUCACCCCAAUAGCCUCGCAGAGUUAUCAUAAAGCGCAAUUUAAUUGAUCACCUGAACCUUGGUGAACGCACCAUGAUUUCAGUUUCUGCCUAGGCCUAUGCAAUCUUGUACGCAACUAUGUUGGGCCGCCUUGAGGCCCAUUGCCACCCAACCAUUUCAACAUUACAAUUGGUUACUGGGUACGAACCCGAUGUUUCGUAUUUACUCAUUUGGGUAUGCAUUCCUUGUGCCAAGUUGCACUGCCGCAACCAAUAUAGGUCUUCAAAAUAAGGAUGUGAAUCUUCGUCGAUUAUAAUUCUCCUUUACACUAGCUCUUUAGAGCCCUUGCAAGCUGUUGAUGUACAAAACCGGAGGUCUUGGAACAACGUAAAUCCGACCGUUAAUCUGCGAGAAAUGUAAAUAACACAAGAUGUAUCGUGGUUCACCCCAAGGUUUGGGCUACGUCCACACUGAUUAUAUUUAUCUGAGAGUAUUUGUGAGGAAGAGAGUGUGAGAGCUUUGCUCUAGAUAGGAGAGGCCAUUUUCUGAGGCAAAUUCCUAGGCCCUCUCACCACCUCUCAAGCAAUGUUGAUGCACAAAACCGGAGAACUUGGAACAACGUAAAUCCGACCAUGAAUAUGCAUGAAAUGUAAAUAACACAAGAUGUAUCAUGGUUCACCCCAAGAUUUGGGCUACGUCCACACUGAUUAUAUUGUAUUUCUCUGAGAAGUGAGGGACAGAGUGUGAGAGCUUUGCUCUAGAUAUGAGCGGCUUGAGAGGGGGUGAGAGGGCCUAGGAAUUGGCCUCAGAAAAUGGCCUCCCCUAAUUGUGAGGGUGAGGGGUCCUUUUAUAGAAUAAGGGCUCCUCACUUAUUACAUAUUUGCCCCUUCCUUUAUUACAUAAUUACAUUUGAGUCCCCCGAGUAUUUAUACGAGGUCUAAAUACAGAGACCCUAAAUAUGGUACAAACAGUAGUCCCCCAAGUUUUCAGUCAAGAGAGUCUUUUGGUUGGAGACUUGAAAUUCAGUCCAUGUGUGGGCCAAAGUAACUAGAUGUUGUCUUGAACUGAUGUUCGAUAUGAGGCGGUGCUCAAUCUGAAAUGAUGUUCAACUAGAAAUAGCACAUGCUGUGAGACUGCUUGGCUCGUGGCUUAUGUUGCCUUGGUUGGCUCUGCUUGUGGCGUUUGAUGGUGAGGGAGUCCCUUUUAUAGAAUAAAGGCUCGCUCCUCAAUACAAGAAUGAUGGGCUAGAGUUGAUGCUCGCGGCGAGGCGGUUGCUUAGUAGGCGGCGAUGCUCUCUAAUGAUGGUGAGGGAGUCCCUUUUAUAGAGUAAGGGCUCACUUCUCAAUACAUAAGUGAUGGGUUAUGAGUGAUGCUUGCGGCGAGGCGGUUGCUCAGCUGGCGACGUUGCUCUCUAAUGAAGGUGAGGGAGUCCCUUUUAUAAAAUAAAGGCUUGUUCCUCAAUACAUGAAUAAUGGGCUAGAGUUGAUGCUCUCUAAUAAUGGUGAGGGAGUCUCUUUUAUAAAAUAAGGGCUCACUCCUCAGUACAUGAACAAUGGGUGCUCUCUAAUGAAAGUGAGGGAGUCCAUUUUAUAGAAUAAGGGCUCGCUCUUUAAUACAUAAGUAAUGCGCUAAGUCCCCCAAGUAUUUUUCAUGAGGCUCAAUAUAUGGUACAUAAUGUAAUCCCCCAAGUCUUCGAUCAAUAGAGUCUGUUAGUUGGAGACUUCAAAUUGAAUCCAUGUAUGGGCCGAAGUGGUGGUUGUUCGGAGGCGGUAUUUGUAUACCCUGUACUGAAGCUUUGUAGGUGAAGCUUUGCAAGUGAAGCUUUGAAGCUAGAGCUUUGUAAAUGAAGCUUUUGAAGCUAGAGCUUUUGUAAAUAAAGCUUUUGAAGCUGAUUGACAUGAGUGAUGCUCAUGAAUGUUUGAUUGACAUGAGUGAUGUUCAUGGAUGUUGACAUGAGUGAUGCUCAUGAAUGUUGACAUGAGAGUUGUUCAUGAAUGUUUAUGUAUGAUUGAUAUGAGUAAUGCUUAUGAAUGUUAUGUAUGAUUGACAUAAGUAAUGCUCAUGUAUAAUAUGAAGUAUUGGGCGUACAUUUGAUCACCUGGUUGGUGGCAUGAAGAAGAGUACGGGUUGUACAUUUCAUCACCUGGUUGGUGGCAUGAAUGGCUAGUUGCCAAAUUAGAGUACGGGUUGUACAUCAUGAAUGGCUAGUUGCCAAAUGAUAUUAGAGUACGGGUUAUACAUUUCAUCACCUGGUUGGUGGUAAUAACGGCGGGUUGCCGAAUAAUUUUGGAGUACUGGGCGUACUUUUGAUCACUUGGUUGGUGGUAAUAGCGGUGGGUUACCGAAUAAUUGUGGAGUAUUGGGCGUACUUUUGAUGACCUGGUUGGUGCUAUUUGCUAUUUCGAGCUUAUGUCCCUCCACAACAUGCCAGCCCAUUUGUUUUGGGCUUUGCCGUUUUUAUUUUUUAUUUUUUUUAAUUACCCUCUGAUGGGGUUUAUACAUAUUACCCUCUGAUAGGGUUUAUAUAGAUGUCUCUGAAAGAUAAUAAAAAUAAAUUACAUCAUUCGGGUAGGGUGUUUAUUCCGUGCUUUUGCAGUGUUUUUCUGCUUUCUCUUUUGCUUUCUCUUUUCUUUUCUGCUUUGCUCUUGCUUUUGUUUCUACUUCUCACUGCAUUUCUUUUCUCUAGUAUACAUAUCCUCUGGGCCUUCAGAAAGUGAUUUCACAUGGCUACCACCCUGUAAAGAAGAUGCAGGGGAUGGGUCACUAAGCUCUUUGAAUUAUUGCUUGUCCUGCCUUACAUGGUGAAACUGAGUGGAGCUUUGGUUCGAGCAGAGCACGAAGGCUAAGUGUCGGGGAGGGCUUCGUCCUCAGGAAUCGCAUACUUAGUCCUAGGUGGUGAUGUUGCUCAUGAUAAGACCAAACCAAUCUCCAGUAAAAAGGUCAUAUUUUACUACUGCAGUUUUGAUAAAUCACAAGAUCAUUAAUAGCAUUUAAAGCAACACCGCCGGUAGUGGUAAUCAGAAUAAAAGACACCGCUUUUCGACCAAAAAAAGGACGUGCUUUUCUCUUCCUCCACCGUCUUCGCCGCUGAACUGUGCCAAACCCAUCUUAUUAGCCACAUCACACUCCAUUAGAUUCAACCUGGAAAAGUACGAUGUUGAGGAGCUCCUGUUAAACGACGAUACCAUCUUCCUUGCCAACAUUUUUCUCUGUUCCGUUUGCUUGCUCUGAGUCUGUUCUCAGCCCCGUGAUUAACGUCGUCGGCUCCGGUGUAUUGAAGAUCGCCGAUCCGGUCAUCGAUUGCAUCCGGAAGUUAAUCGCCUAUGGGUAUAUGCGCGGCGAGGCUAACGCAUCCAGGGACGCCACGGAAGCGAAGUGAAGCUUUAAAUUGAUCGAGUCUGUGUGUAGAUGUCGUGAUUGGAGGGACGAUCAGAUGGAGCUGCUAUUUUGCUCUCUCACAUCCAUCUGCUCGCUUGCUUGGCUCUCCAGCUUCGCUAGUAAAAUGCAGAUUUGCAAAUUCACCGACCGUCGGCGUCCACUCAUACGGCGCAGUAUGCGCGUUUCUUGAAGGAGCUGACCUCGUGCGUGUGCUCGUGGAGGGAGCGAAGGGGGUUGGAGGCUGGAUCCGUCAGCGAUAGCAGCAACUAGAAGGGAAUCGUGGGACUCAGAUCAUGCGAUGGUGAUUGGUUGGUGGCGUACGCCGAGGCCCAGAGGGACGGGGGAGAGGUCGAUGACGUGGAGAUGAGCUUGGUGAUUUUGCAGCAAUACUGCCGGAUUUCAGGCCAAAAGCAUGUAUAUAGAUAUAUGCACAGGAAGCAAGACGGAUGACAGUGGGUCUGGGGGAGAGAAACUAGUCCAGGCUUUUUUAACGGCCCGCAUAAGCUGCAUGCACUAAGAGACUAGCCCAGCCCAUUCAAAGUAACUGUAAGCGAGCUCGGGCUCAACAAGGUGCCCAGUGAAUAAAGCCUGGUUCUUGGUCUCGAUCAUCUAUACCCAGCGAACAAGUUUGUUGUUCUGAGAAACCAAACUUGAGAGAGAGGGAAAGAGAGAGAUUUGGAUUUUUUUUCAUUUUGCAGAUUCACGGUAGAGGUGAAAAAUUGAGAGAGAACAGCAUAACUUUUUGUGUCGUUUCCCACAGACAGCGCCAAAUGUUGAUGCACAAAACCGAAAGUCUUGGAACAGCGUAAAUCCGGCUGUGAAUCUACAUGAAAUGUAAAUAACACAAGAUGUAUCGUGGUUCACCCCAAGAUUUGGGCUACGUCCACACUGAUGGUAUUGUAUUUCUCUGAGAAGUGAGGGAGAGAGUGUGAGAGCUUUGCUCUAGAUAGGAGCAGCUUGAAAGGGGGUGAGAGGGCCUAGGAAUUGGCCUCAGAAAAUGGCCUCCCCUAAUUGUGAGGGUGAGGGGUCCUUUUAUAGAAUAAGGACUCCUCACUUAUUACAUAUUUGCCCCUUCCUUUAUCAUAUAAUUACAUUUAAGUCCCUCGAGUAUUUGUAGGAGAUCUAAAUACAAGGCCCUAAAUAUGGUAUAAACACAAACGAUCUUUUUACCACUCAUUUGCGAAUUGUCACUUCAAUGAGACAUUCUUCCCGUUGUUAGGGGGAGAUAAGAACGUCAACGCUCCUGUAAAACGGCGUGAACUUGCAUAGACGUUGCCCACUAUGCCUCAUCUUGAUCCUCAUACCGCACAAGUGUGAUAAGUAAGUGCAAUGUAUUCUAGCUUUCAAAAUGUUGCCAGACGCAUUUCUCUGCUCUAGCUAAAGUGACGAGAUCAUAUACCAACUGUAAACAUGCCUGCAAGGAUAGACGUACUUAAUGGAUGUUGAGUUAACAUCCUCGAAGGAUGUGCCACCUAUAAUGACGAUUUGGUCACCUAUGUUGGGCUGUCUGGUACACCAACGGAUAGCCAAUCAAUCUCACGAGUGGAUUCAAUUCCCUAAAAGAGGAAAGACACAGCACAAAAUGAAUCUAUACUUGGUCGCUAUCUCAAAUCAUUUCCAUCUCAUAAGAUUAAUCCAUAUUACUCCCGAGACUUGAAGUUCUUGGUCCAGAAUACUAGUUUGGAUGAGUUAAUGGAAUUGGAAUGAGAUAUCAUCAAUGAUGUUUUCAUUUAUAUGGUUGCUACCGACAUAAAUGAAAAGCGACGAUAUCAAACUGUGUUAUGUUGGUUAAUGACAACGUAAAACUAAUUGGACAACCGAAAUCACAAUCCAAGUUAAAUUCCUUACCAAAGUAUGUUUGGACCUGUAGUUCCUACACUGCCCAAGGUAAUCCUGUUGUGUUACAUGUGGGAAAGGAAGUGUAAUGAGAUUAAUGAAAUAGUGCGAUGUAAUGCAUGCCUUAUGGUGCAAGGUUUCUCUCAAACGCCCUAUGAUUGAUUGCAGCAUUAUGAAUGUGGUUAGUGUUUCUCCAUAGGGAUAUUGAUACGAAGAUUUACAUGUAUGUUCCCGAAGAAUUACAUGGACUGGUUCAAAUAGUUCCAAACCACGGAACACCAUUUCAACUCAUUUGAGGCGUUCACUUACGGAUUGAAGCAAUCCGACGGAUGUGGUAUACCCGUCUAAGUGAUUAUUUGAUCAGUUAAGGAUAUAAAUUAUGCCUUUGUGUAUUAAACUAUGAAGUCUUAUUCCAAAUUGCUAGAGUUGCAGAUUAUGUCGAUGACAUGCAUCUCACUUAGACUUUAGAAGAGCUUGAGAAAACUGUCUUGCAUCUAAAGACGAAAUUUGAGAUGAAGAAUCUUGGAAAAGCUCGUUUAUACCUUAAACUGAAGUUCAAGCGUUGUUCUGAUAGUACAUUGGUCUACUAGUCAAACUACACCCCGAAGGUAUUACCUUUUGAGUAUACCUAUAAUCUUCUAACGCUAUAUGCAAAUGAGAUCCUUGAAGAGGUUAUGGAAUCCGAAGUUCCAUAUUUGAGUUCAACUUUGCGCUUUGUUGUAUUUAGCUCAUUGCAUUAGAUAAGACAUCUCUUUUGCUGUUGAUCCAUUGGUAAAGAUGCAGCACUGCGCCGACACGCAACCACUGAAUUGGUAUUAAAGAUGUUUUCUGCCACCUUGAAGGUACUAGGGAUUUAGGCAAGUCCCAACGCAACCCGAGCGGAGCCAACCCCCUUGAUCCUCAGAAUGAUGAUUGCCUUGUGUGUUAUGCUAACGAUGGUUACUUAUCAAACCCACACAAGGCACAUCCCCGAAUGGUUAUGUCUUUACCGUUAGGGAUAUCACAAUAUUUUGGAGGUCCACAAUAUGACCUUAGUUGUGAAAUCUUCAAAUCGUUCCAAGACUCACCUUACUUCACUAUGCCACACGUGAAACAUGGUUAGGAAUUCUAGUUGAGCAUAUUCGAAGUACUUGCUGUUUUCGUCCAUCGUUGAGUUCCAACGACGAUCCAUGAAGACUAUGCCGCAUGUAUCAAUCCGACUAAGACAUGAUACAUCAACAAAGUCAAUGCUAAGACAUAUUGCGUCUACAUCAACAAAGCAUCAGGGGAUUGAAAUACUUAAUAUUUUUUUGACCCCCCAUAUUGGUAAAAGAGUAUGUAAACUGAAAAGAACAGCUCAACGACCAUAUAUACUUUUGUACAAAACCAUUUAAGAACUCAAGUUGGCCAAAAAAAAUAUCAUCAGAUAUGUUACCAUUCUUUAAUUGUUUUUUAAUUGUAUAAUUAUUUUUGGUCUCGUUCGCAAAGUAAUUUUCUUUUUCCUUAAGUAUUGAGUUUGAAAUGGUGUUUUCCUCUGAUGGUUAAUUAUCAAUAGUUUACAUGUAAAGCCCCCUUUUUUUUAUAUAAAAAAAGAUUUAAUGAUAAGAACCUAACAAACAAAAUUUUAACGCAAAACACCUAAUGAAUUUUUUCAACUACAUGUUGAAUCACAAUCUUAUACCUUAUGUUUUAAACAUUACAAUGUCAUACCUUAACUUAUAAAUUUGUUACAAUGUCAGACAUUCGUUAAAUUUUCGGUAAAUUUUAUUGUUAAGUGAUGAUGUGUCAGGUGUAGGUUCCACUCCUCAUCCAACUGAAUUUAAAAAUUAAUUAAUAUUAAUAAAUUGAGCUUUUUUAAUCUCAAAAAAAUUAAAAGUUAUUAAAAAACCUCCUCUCUCCUCACGUCACUCUCCCUCUUCUGUCCCUCAUCCGUCAACUCCAUUGGUUUUGGUCUGAAAAAACCAAAAUUUAAGAUUUUUUUUUUUGGUCUGACAAAGUUAAAUAAUUGAAAAAAUAACCUCUUCUUGACUUUCUCCUUGAUUUUGCAGCAACGUUCCCAAAUUCACAAUGAUCUGCAAGUUCAGAUUGGAGGAACAUGUAUACAUUAGAUCUUGGGUAUCUCUUGAUUUUGCAGCCUCUCCCCAUUUCAGCCAUCACCAAUCCAACCUCCCCCCGUUUCAGCCAUUACCAAUCUGUUUCAUUUCUCCAUUGGUUUCGCAGCCGCCCAAUUGGGUGUCUCUUGUUUCUGAUUCCCCGAGAGCUUGUACCUGUGCAACUCGAGAAUCUUGUGUUCGAGCCUGACGACAAUGAUUGAAACUUCGCUGCCUCGCUGGGUUGUGGUGGUGGAUCGGCUCGUCGAAAUCGUACGGCUCCCAGAGGUGGUCCAGCGGGCAUGGGUUCUUGCUGUUGCCGCUCGAGACCAGCUGCCUCCUCCCCUUCUCCAGCAGUCUCAACGUGUACCGCUCCGUGUCCAAUCUAGAUCAGAUCAGCGAGUGGCCCGUCUAGUGCGAGCCAGGUGUCAGAUGCAAUUUGGAUGGAAGACUUGGUCGGAUUUGGGAAGCAAAUGCAACGUUUCGAAGCCGUGGAACUCGCUCGCAUUCCAGAGCUCCCUAGCCGAUCUUUCGAGCCUCGACGGCGGAGUAGACGAGGGAGAGAAGAGGGAGAGAGACGAUAGGAGGGUUUAUUUUAAUAAAUUUUAAUUUUUUCGUUUUAAAAAUCUUAACGUAUUAAUAUAAAAUUAAUAUUUAAUUUCAGUUGGAUGAGAAGUAAACUCUCAUUUGUCACGUCAUCAUUUAACAGAAAAUUUAACGGAAGUCUGACAUUACAAUAAAUUCAUAAAUUAAGGUAUGACAUUAAAUGUUUAAAACAUGAGGUAUGAGAUUAUGGUCCUACCUAUAAUAGAGGUAGUUUUGUAUAAUUUACUCUUUUUUUUUUGUUACGUCACAACUUGCGACCCGUUCCUGUUCAAUUUUCACUUCUAGUUUUACCUUGUUUAUGAUUUCAAAGACUUGGGAAUUGAAAUGAGCUAGAAUCAGAAGUAGAUUGUUAUUGAAGUUGUUUACCAAAAGUGUCUGGAAUUGGAAUUGAAAUGACAUUGAUCUAUAUAAACCGUUUACUAAUCCAUAUGAAUCGGAAUAAAAUCUAAUAUAAUUACUAAAGUGCCCUUGCUUAACUAAUUUAUUUUAUUUGCUAAUUAUUUUUGGUAAAACUUUUACUCUUUCAUUUUUUUUUUAAAGAAUUUUUUUUUAGUAAAACUUUUAGUACAAAUUUAAUAUGAAAGAAUAUUUUUUAUUUGCUUCUACAUAUUUGAGAAGAUUCUUAAUCACCCUAAUUUAUUUCCUCUUCUCUCUCCCCCCUUUCUCCCCAGUCUUUCUCAGCAGUCAAUCUCGCUUGACCAAAACGCUCUCACCCACACCAUCCUCUCCAAUACCUACCACCACCACCGUCUCUCGUCCCUCUUCUCCUCCCCCUUCCUCUUCUCUCUCACCCUCCACUGCCUCAACUCACUCCCCCUCGUCAACAAGACUCUCCUCAUCGCCAACCAUGUUCUCUCUCAUCCUUCUUCCCUGCCAUUCGUGGUUGUUCACCAAAUCCUCGCUAACAAACACCCUGGGGAAUAAGGGUCUACCGUUCACACCAAUCCAAGCAAUCAAUUUCUAACUUGCAUCCACAAAUUGGUCUGCAACAUUCGCAUAAAGAAGGGUCUGCCGUUCCAAGACUCGUUCCGUAAGAACAUGACUCGGCCCAGUGUUCCACCUGGGUUUGCAAUGUGUAAGGGCGGUGUCGUGGUAGUGGUCAAGGUGUAAGGAGUCGGUGGAGGAGAAAGGAAGGAGAGGGUGUGCUACUGGUAGAAGGUGCAAGGGUAUUUUGGGUAGAAAUGUUUGAUUCCAUAAAAAGACUUCCUCCAAGAAUUCAAUUACCACCUCCAUGUAGGUAAUUGAAUUCCGGAAGAUUAAGGAAUUCGAUUCCAAAUUUUAAGUGGGUCCCACUUACUUUUUCAUUCCCUACAUGAUAGUAAACGCGGAAUGCUUCGGGAGGAAUGCGAUUCCGUUUCUUUCCAUUCCAUUCCCGUUUGGUAAACGCGCCCUAAGAGUAAAUAAUUAUGGCAAUCACCAUAGACGAUGGAUGGAAAUAUUUUCCUUGUAGAUAAUGAUUUCAAAUAGGUAUGUGCUAUUUGCACCUUUUUUUUUUAUUUUUAGACACCUUAAUUUGUGAUCGUCGGAUCGAAUGAAUUAAAGAAGAUCAAAAGAUAGAAAUUAACAAGGGACCGCAAGAAGUAAAAAGGGGUGGGUACAUUAUCCACCCAUUUCAAAUUUUAAACGACUGAAAAAUGUUAAGGAGACUUUUUCGACUCUUUAAUUUUAAAAAUAUGUCGUCUCUUUGAAAAUUAUAUUUCAGUUGGACAUGAUUAAAGAAGAAGAAGACCACAAAAUUUAUAUUUCAAGCGGGAGUUUUGGGGUGGGUGUGAUGUUGUUGUUGGGUAGAGGGCAUCAAGUGGAUGAUCUUGGUGGUGGCAAUGGCGGGCGGAUGUUUGGAUGCAGGUGAGGCGAUGUUUGGUUGGAGAUUGCUGGGUUGCCGGGCGCCGUUUGGAUGCAAGUUGUGGUGAUCUUUAUUUCUUCAAAAGCCCCAAAAUAAUGUGAAUGGUGGAAAUUGUGAAAAAAAAAUCCAGAAAAGAGAAAAUCUAGAAGGACACAUAAAAUAAUAAAAAUUUCGAACAAAAAGUUCUAGGGUACCGAGUAAAGAGCUUUACUCCAAGUUGCUGAGAGUAGACCUGGCAGUUUUUGACACGAUACGGUGAUACGACACGAAAAUAAUGGGUUUCGGGUUAACAAGAUAACUUAUCGGUUCACUAUUGGGUGACCCGUUAAGAACCCGUUAAUAACGGGUUCUUAACAGGUAUACACACAGGUAACACGAGGGUAACCCGUUUCGACCCGUUAAGAAAAAAUUAUUUUAAUAAUUUUAAAGUUUAAUUACUAAAAGAUUUAUUAUCAAAUACAAUAGUAAUAUUAAUAUAUACAAUAUAUUCUAUAUUAAAUAUAUAGUUUUGUAUUAUUGUUCUAUAUAAAUUAUAAAAAAAAAAAAGUUUUAUUCAUUAUUUAUUUUUAUUAUGAGAGUUCCUUAUUAUCAUUACUAGGAUAAAUUUUACAUAACAUAUUAUUGUCGAAAAUUAAAAUAUACUAGUAUAGUAUUUGUAUAUGCAAGAACUAAGAAGACAUACAUACAAGUAUGAAAAAUAUGAAAGAAUAUAUAAACACUCGUGAUUUAUCAUUAUUCCUCCACGGACAGAUAAUUGUUACACUUAUAUUAUCGUUUAGAUUUUUAAAAUCCUUCAAACCCUCAUGAAUAAUGUUUUUUAUUUAAGGGAAAAAUUAAUAAAAUUAAUAAUAAUUAUUGUAGAAGUGUAAAAAAUGUAAAAAUAUAUAUAUAUACAAUCACUCAUAUAUAAAAAAAUGUAAAUGCUUUAAAGUAAAGAUCAAAUUUAUUCAUUACAUUCUUAUAGGGUCGAGGAGUGUAUGUACAAAAUCAUCAAAAUCGAAGUUAAAAUAACCGUUAAAUUAUGAUUUUUCGUUUAUAACCGUCGAAAACUUUUGUUCCGUUACGUAAUCUCUGAAUGUUUGUUUUUUACGAUUUUUUACGUUUGCAAUCUCGAAAUGUGUACAAAUAAGUUUGACGGUUGGAUCGUUGAAAAAAAUUUCGUAAAAUGCAUAUUGGGUCAAAACGGUAUAUUAAACAAACACUUAGAGUUAAUAUUAUACUUCUAUUAAGUAUAAAAUAAGUUUUUGUGGUAUCCACUAGUGUAAAUACUUUCAAUUAAAGAUAAAAUUUAUUCAUUACAUUCUUAUAGGGUCGAGGAGUGUAUCUGUAAAAAAUCAUCAAAAUCGGAGCUAAAAUAACCGUUAAAUUGUGAUUUUUCGUUUAUAAUCGUCGAAAACUUUUGUUCCAUUACGUAAUCUCUGAAUGUUUGUUUUUUACGAAAUUUUACGUAUACAAUCUUGGAAUGUGUACAAAUAUGUUUGACGGUUGGAUCGUUGAAAAAAGUUUUGUAGAAUGCAUAUUGCAUCAAAACGAUAGAUUAAACAAACACUUGGAGUUAAUAUUAUACUUUUAUUAAGUAUAAAAUAAGGUUUUGUGGUAUCCACUAGUGUAAAUACUUUCAAUUAAAGAUCAAAUUUAUUCAUUAAAUUCUUAUACGGUCGAGGAGUGUAUCUGUAAAAAAAUCAUCAAAAUCGGAGUUAAAAUAACCGUUAAAUUGUGAUUUUUCGUUUAUAAUCAUUGAAAACUUUUGUUCCGUUACGUAAUCUCUGAAUGUUUAUUUUUUACGAUUUUUUACGUAUGCAAUCUCGAAAUUUGUACAAAUAAGUUUGAUGGUUGGAUCGUUAAAAAAAGUUUCGUCGAAUGCAUUUUGCGUCAAAAUAGUAGAUUAAACAAACACUUAAAGUGAAUAUUAUACUUCAAUUAAGUAUAAAAAAAGUUUUUGUGGUAUCCACUAGUGUAAAUACUUUAAAUUAAAUAUCAAAUUUAUUCAUUACAUUCUUAUAGGGUCGAGGAGUGUAUCUGUAAAAAAUCAUCAAAAUCGGAGCUCAAAAUAACCGUUAAUUGUGAUUUAUUCGUUAUAAAAACCGUCGAAAACUUUUGUUCCGUUACGUAAUAUCUGAAUGUUUGUUUUUUAUGAUUUUUUACGUAUGCAAUCUCGGAAUGUGUACAAAUAAGUUUGACGGUUCGAUUGUUGAAAAACGUUUUGUAGAAUGCAUAUUGUGUCAAAACAGUAGAUUAAACAAACACGUUAAUAUUAUACUUCUAUUAAGUAUAAAAUCAGUUUUUGUGGUAUCCACUAGUGUAAAUACUUUAAAUUAAAGAUCAAAUUUAUUCAUUACAUUCUUAUAGGUCGAGGAGUCUAUCUGUAAAAAAAUCAUCAAAAUCGGAGAUAAAACAACCGUUAAAUUGUGAUUUUUCGUUUAUAACCGUCGAAAACUUUUGUUCCACUACGUAAUCUCUGAAUGUUUGAUUUUUACAAUUUUUUACGUAUACGAUCUCGGAAUGUGUACAAAUAAGUUUGACGGUUGGAACGUUGAAAAAAGUUUCAUAGAAUGCAUAUUGCGUCAAAACGGUAGAUUAAACAAACACUUAGAGUUAAUAUUAUACUUCUAUUAAGUAUAAAAUAAGUUUUUGUGGUAUCUACUAGUGUAAAUACUUUAAAUUAAAGAUCAAAUUUAUUCAUUACAUUCUUAUAGGGUCAAGGAGUGUAUCUGUAAAAAAUCAUCAAAAUCGGAGCUAAAAUAACCGUUAAAUUGUGAUUUUUCGUUUAUAACCGUCGAUAACUUUUGUUCCGUUACGUAAUCUCUGAAUGUUUGUUUUUUACGAUUUUUUACGUAUGCAAUCUUGGAAUGUGUACAAAUAAGUUUGACGGUUGUAUCAUUGAAAAAAGUCUUUGGACCGCCAGCAAUAGAUAAUUUUGUAGUAGUGAAACCUUAAAUUUAUUUAACUGUCGAUUGUCAUUUACGCUUUAUUCUUCUUACUGAAUUUCAUUUUUAAAAUUUUAUUUUUUGAAAACAUGAUCAUCUGGCGGAUGUAAGAAAAUGAUAUCACGUUUCGAUAUUUACGGUUAACUGAAAUAUUAGUCAAUGUCAUAUAAUUUGUAGAAACUUUAUAAACAUCAAGUAAUAUUUUCACUAACCGUAAAACUCUAAAAAAUAAUAAUAUCAACGAUCCAAACCGUUCAUUCUACCUGCACCCUCUAAUAGAUCAUGUUUUUUCAAAAAAGAAAAUCUAAAAAAACGAAAUUUGAUGAGAACAAUGAAGCAUAAAUGUAAACAACAAUCAACGGUUAAAUUUUGAUCUAUGAUUUAUAUGAUUAUAAUGGCGAAUUUCGAAGUUAAGCUCUUCAUGAAAGUUAUAAAGCUUGUCAUUACGAGUAUUUAUAUAUAUUUUUCUAAGAACACGGAAAACAUGACACGAAUGCCAGGUCUAGCUGAGAAUCGCAAAGAGCUUUACUCCAAGUAAAUAUAAUACUUGGUACUAACUGUUCAGUACCUAAAAUUUACUGACUCCAAUAAAUCAUACAUACCUGUUCAUUUUCAAGUAUCAAAUCACACAACCAAAUACCCAAGAAAUUUUUAGUUGUGACAGGAACACGGGUGGUACACUACGUGUUCUUAUGUAAGUGGUGAAAAUUUUUAUUUUUUAAGUUAUUAACUUUUUAAUACACAUAUCCCACCAUUUAUAUAGCGACACAUGGUGUAUCACCCCGUAUAACAAUCACACUGAAAAAUCCCUCCAAACACCCCUAGUUCUACAAACCAAACAUCCUUCUUCUCCCUCUCUCUGCCCACAGUUUGCUCCAGACCAGCAAAAACAUUGCAAAUCUUUCACAAAAACUAUUACCCAUCUAACUGAACCUAUACGAUUUAACUUUAUAAAAAGGAUUAUGGGUGUGCUCUCCACACACCCCCUUUUUACUUCUCACACACCCUUAUUAAUUUCUGUCAGUUGAUCUUCUUCAAUUCAUCUGAUCUGACGGUGGAAAAUCAAAAAGGUGUAAGAGAAGUAAAAAUGGGUGUGUGGAUAUCACACCCCAAAGGAUUAAUCUCAGUUAACUACCUUGAAGUUUAUUGGUUUUCAACAUUUAAGACAUCAAGUUUUUUUCGUCAAGUCUAGUACCUAAAGUCAUAAUUUUGAGACACUUUCAUACAUCCGUUAGUUUUUUCGUCAAAACCUCUGUUAAGUGAUGACUUAGCGUCCACAUGGACAAUGAUUGGAUGCCACAUGUCAAUACGAACAUUUUUGGAUUUAAUUUUUAAAAAUAAUAAAAAAAUAAUUUUUUUUCCUUCCUCUGUUUUCGUCUCUAUCUAUCUCCCUAUUCCGAGAGAACUUAGCAACCACCAACCUUUCCCCACCGACCCAACCCCGUGAGCCGCCGGAAAUGGGUCUCAAUCAGAGACCGAGAGAGAAAAAUGAGAGCCCACACCGAUCCCCAUUUUCUAUGAGCAACGUCAAAACAGUAAAAUCCCUAUUUUCUUUUUGGCCCGUGAUUUUCUCAGCAACCAAACAAAAAUGAGGAAGAUAGGGAAAAUGAAGAAACUAACCUUUGGAAGAAAAUUCAUGUUAAGAGAGAAUUUUGGAACUGGAUUAAAGGUCAAUGAAGGGAUUCAAAUUCUUAGCCCAUGGAGAAAUUAACCAUGCCAAAGAUUCAAGAGAAUUCAAAUUCAAAUUACAAAAAUUAUUUCUGAAUCUAAACCCAAAACCCACCUGAAAUUCACCAAGAAUAGAAGAAAUAAAAAAUUGGGCUAGCUGUGCAUUAAUGGAGAAAGAGAAAAUGGGAAGAAAACCAUGGAAUUGAAAAUUCUAGAAGAAAAAAAUGAUAAAAUUUAAGAAAUGAGCAUUAACCAUGGUGACCUAGAUCUAGAAAACUGGUUGUUUAGCAAAAAAUUGGAAAUGAUUUUACCUUUCGGUGAUUGAGCUUUGUGUCUCCUCUCCUCUUUUGCUUUCUCUCCCUACUGGGUUUUGGCGUUUUGAAGAAAUUGCGAUGGGAAAGAAACAAAGAAAGAAAACAAGACAAGCAAGCUUUCCCUUCCCACAAGUUUUCUCUCUCGGUCUCUGAUCGGAACCCAUUUCCCAUGGCUCACGGGAUUAGGUCGGUGGGGAAAGGUUAAUGAUUGCUGGGUUUUCUCUCAGAAGAGAAGGGAAGAGGGGAGAGAGAUAGAAGACAAAGGGAGAGGAAGGAUUUUUUUUUUAUUUUUUUUAAUAUUCAAUUGACACGUGGCGUCCAGUCAUUAUUCAUGUGGGCGUCACAUCAUCACUUAACAGAUGUACUGACAGAAAACAGAAAACUUAACAGAUGUAUGAAAGUGUUCCAAAAUUAUGACUUUAGGCAUCGGACUAGGACGAAAAAAAACUUGAUGUAUGAAAUGUUAAAAAUGAAUAAACUUCAGUAGUAUACUGAAAUUAACCCAUAUAAAAAAGACGUUCAUGCCUUCCUUGAGGUUCUUCUUGACCCACUGAUUGUAACCACUACAGAGAUCCAUAUUAAAAUUACUUGUACAUAUAAAUUCAUGAUCGUUAGUCAAUCAUAUGCAGUGAAUUUUUUUUUACUUGAUAUCAAGAACUAUCUUAUAAUAAAUCAUCUAUUUAUUAGCUGCAUAUAAGUGAGUAAUUGAUAUUUGAUUUAACUGAUUUUUCGUGAGCAUGAUUUUAAAUUGAUGAUUAGUAAAUUAGCGGUUUUAGUUAUGAAAUUUGCGCAUCAAAAUAUGAUUACUGCAAAAGGAUAAUGCUAGAAUGAUCAAAAUUUUAAACCAAAUUUCACUGUUCUAAAAAUUCUUGCCUAGAGCCUCUAGGCAUUGUUUAGACGCUAGGCGGCUGACCACUGUCCUGAUUAGUCCCUAGGCAUUUGAAAAACUAAGAAAGUGCAUCUAGACCUGCUUAAGUGUACGCCUAGCCCACCUAAGCGCCCACCUAGCCCGCCUAAACUCGUCUAGACACUCGCUUAGGUCGCGACUCUAACUUAGACAUAAAAUCAAUAACAUUUAUUUUGCUUUUUAUUUUUUCAAUAAAAUGUAAGAUACUUGUAGCUUGGAUGAACACUCAUCACAUGCUUAUUCUUCAUGUUUUCAAUAUAUUAUAAUACUUUAUAAUUUAUAUGUCAUUUUAUUUUGUAAUUAAUGUAUCUCAAUAUAAUCAUGUGUGUUUUUUAAGUAUAAAUAAGCACUUAUUUAACAUAUAAAAAAUUUACUUAAAUCCGUCUAGGCCUCCGCCUAAGUCCCGCCUAGCCAUUAGGCCUCAGCUUGUCGCCUAACUAGCGUCUAGUAUCUUUUAGAACUUUACCAAAUUUGCAAACCAAAUUACAUGCCACUAAUAUGAAAUAAGCACGUUAAUCUACACUUAAUUAAUAAUCCAAUCAUCAAUAACCACAUCGUUUGAUUUACAAAAUUGAUGUAAAAAUUUAAUCUCUCUAACAUUAUUCAUUAAAAAAUAUUCUGGAUUUUCUCAUCCACAAUUAAUAUGUUUGAAAUUAGCUGGCCGACCUUUCCAAAUGAAAGUUUACAGGAUUGUCUCAUCCACAAUUAUUAUGUUUGAAACUAGCUGGUUGACCUUCCACAUUAUAGCUCUAUAAAAUCAAGCACCAGCUAGCAUUCAUAAUACUCAAAGAAACAAAUUGAGAACUCCCAAAGAGCGCAAUAUAUAUCAAUAUGGCACUUUGGGUUUGGUUAACAAUUGGGGUGCUUGCCCUUGUUCGCAUCGUGCAAGCAUGCAUAUCAAAAGGCAAGAACAAAAACAAGAUGUUACCUCCUGGUCCGAGAGGGUUUCCUAUUUUUGGCAGCCUCCAUUUGUUAGGGAAGUUCCCUACCAUGGAUCUUCAUCAACUAGCCCAGAAAUACGGUGACAUCAUGUACUUGAGGUUAGGCCUCCAGCAUACCGUGGUCGUCUCGUCCACACGAGCGGCCGAGCUGUUCCUCAAAACCCACGACCUUAACUUUGCAAGUAGACCACCUAAUGAAGGUGCAAAGCACCUCAUCUUUGGGCAAAGAAGCUUGAGCUUUGCUGAGUAUGGCUCGUAUUGGACCAACAUGCGAAAGAUUUGCAUGCUCGAAUUACUUAGCAACCAAAAGAUCAACUCUUUCAAGUCCAUGAGGAGAGAAGAGGUUGCUCUCUUGAUAAAAUCUGUUCAAGACGACGCCAAUAGUCGACGCAUUGCUAAUGUGACUGACAAGGUCUCGUCGCUCGGGAUCAACAUGACCUGCCGGAUGGUGUUUGGGAAGAAGUACAAGGACGAGGAGUUUGGCGGGAGGGGUUUCGCGUCUGUGAUGAAAGAGGGUAUGAAACUAGCAGCAGCACCUAACUUGGGAGAUUUCAUUCCUUGUAUUGCACCGCUUGACCUGCAAGGGCUCACUAAAAAAAUGAAGGCUGUUAACAAGGCGUUUGAUGAAUUUUUUGAGAAGGUUAUUGACGAGCAUCUUCAAUACAAGGAUAAAGAAAGAACAAAGGACUUCAUCGAUGCCAUGCUGGCCCACAUGGGGUCUGAAGGAUCCGACUACCGAAUCGAACGCUUGAAUAUCAAAGCCAUGAUGUCGGUGAGUGUACAUAUCAUCAUUUUACAUAUUUGUCUUUUCAUUCUUGCUUGACUUCAAGUUCAAACGAAAUCGUUUCUGGUUAGACAAUUUAACAUGAUGUGGUCAAAGAUUGUUAUUUUGAACCAUUAGGUCGACUUUUUUUUUAAUAUACUAGAUUGACAGUUGACGAUAUAAAUUUGUGAUUUAAUAUGGACAUUAAAUUAUCAUUUAUGUACAUGUGUCGCGUUAUUAUAUGUACUUCAUCUAGCAAUGAAAAAUUUAUUGGCAGGACAUGUUCGCGGCUUCAGCGGACACAUCAUCAACAACAGUCCAGUGGGCGCUCUCGGAACUCUUGAGGCAUCCACAGGUUAUGAAGAAAGUCCAAAAGGAGUUAGAAAAUGUUGUAGGCCUCAAAAGAAUGGUGGAGGAAUCAGACAUGGAGAAAUUAGAGUAUUUGGACAUGGUAGUGAAGGAAACCAUGAGGCUACAUCCUGUGGUACCAUUGUUGCUUCCUCAUGCAGCCAUCGAAGAUUGCACUGUCGAUGGCUACCACAUACCGAAGAAGUCACGCGUUAUUGUAAAUGCGUGGGCAAUCGGGAGAGACCCGAGUGCUUGGGAAGAUGCAGAGAAGUUCGUACCAGAGAGGUUUGAGGGUAACAAUGUUGAUGUUAGAGGACACCACUUUCAGCUUGUACCGUUUGGCUCUGGCAGAAGACGUUGUGUUGGAAUGCAGUUAGGGAUUACUGUGGUACACUUUGUGUUGGCACAGCUUGUGCAUUGUUUUGAUUGGGAACUUCCAGAUAACAUGCUGCCAAAUGAGUUGGAUAUGACUGAGGAGUUUGGUCUAGUAGUUUCAAGGGCCAAGAAUCUGCUCGCUAUUCCCUCAUAUCGCCUUCAGAAUUGAUCAUGGAUGUUGUGGACUAGCUAUCUUUUCUGUUUUUUUUUUUUUUUUUUUCCUUUUUACUGUUUACAUUUGUUUUCUUCACUUGAUGAGGAGAACAAGCACUGGUAUAAAUUAAAUAAGUUUGUGUCAAAUUUUCAAUAAUGAAAAGUCGUGUAUUAAUGUGAAAUCCCGUCUCUAGAAUUUCAUUAUAUAAUUAUGUAUUUCAUUAUUUAAAUUCAUAUUUUGUAAUUAUGUGAUUUUUAUUUUAAAUCAAAUUUCGUUGAUUUUAGAGUUUUAUUUACUUAGUUACAAAGUUCGAAUUUUCAUAAGCAAUCAUUUAAAAAUCGUCAUUUAGUGUUCUCAAAUAGAGCUCAAUCCCACGAGGACGCAAGUGAAAGCCAUUCGAGAAUCAGAGCGAUAACGAAGAAGUUACAGACGUCGAAAGUUCAAUAUAAAUAAUAUAGAAACCCUAUUAUAAUAUAAUAUGUAGAUGGGUACAUGAAUAGUUCUUUACUAUUCAUCUGCAGAAAAAUCACAUGGAUUACUAUUUUUGCAAAGCAAUUUCCCUAUUCCUUAGAAGAAGCUUGUGUAAAGUAAAUGGUGUUGCUACAUUAUUUUAUUCGAUGAAAACCUCUAUGUAAGGAGGUUCAUUCGUUCAUUGCAAACAAAUGACUCCUAAUAUCAAAGAAGAAAGAAAGAGAGAGAAAGAAAAGAAGAGAGAUGUGGAGAAAUUACUAGUGAGCUGGGCUAGAGAGAAGAGAGAAAAUAGGGAGAGUUAUCAUUGUACUCCUAUUAUUUCAAAUAAUGAAAGAAAGAAUUACUGCUGCUCCUUGGAGGACGUAGGCAUACUUGCCGAAACUCAUAAACAUUGUGUCUUAUUAUUUUAUUCUGCCGCACAUAUCUUCAAUUUCACAACACAAGAAGCUCUCGUGUCAGUGAAAACACACAAAGCCAUAAACCCAGUGAAGCACUGUUUACCUCUAUCAGUUGAAACCUCACAGAUAAGAAAUUCUCUCAUUUUAUCCUCAUACUAAUCUUCUUAAACUAAGUAUAUAUCUUGUUAUAUAACUGUAUAUCAUUCUUUGCAGAAACAAAAAAGGUACAUACUUGAAAUUCGCUAAAAAAAAACAGUUGUGUUACGAACUUUGAAACUCCGAUUUCCUGUGCUCAAACAGAAAUUUUCCUUCCUAGAUCUUGUUCCUUAUCCUUUUUCCUAUAACACAUCAAAAUCUCAUAAAGAUCCAAUGGUUAAUUCAUUCCAGAUCUUAGAAAUACUAUUAUAGACCUGAAAUCUGCAAAAAAAUUGGCAGCUAGGUUAAUGGCAUUUAAACUCGAACUUCCCAAACUCGGAUUGAAACGUUUUCUUUAUUGGAGUUGUUCAUUACCCUCUUGUUGAUACUAUGCUAAAAUUUGGGUCAGAUCCAAUGGUUUGACAUAUGAUUUCAUUUUGUAGACAAUAAUCAAGUGAGACAGGCUUAACUGGUUCCCUUGUGUGAUUUUGAAACUCUAUGUUCUUGCCCAUAAUUGCCUUGUGUGAUUUUAGAGCUUAAAAGAAGGAUGGACUACGAACGGCUUGAUCCCGUUUGAGAGUACGUAGAUGGUCUAACAUACAGGUUAGAUGCAGCCUUGUGUACAGAAAAAGUUUUACACUAUUGACACAUUUUUCAUGUUUUGGUCAUGUCUCGGAGGCGAGGCAUGAAGGAUGAAAAAGUAUGUGGUGACUUCAUGUGUCGAUCCUAAACGUAGAUCAGGAUUAGGGUGUGACAAUGUAACAACCUUAACAACAUACUACACGAGCUCUUAUAAAAGGAAGUUGAUUUUUAACAUACCUUUUAACAUUUACACCCUUCUCUAUUUUUCGAUCAUCGAAUUGAAUAAAUCAAACAAAAACAAUGAACCUGAUGAAAUAAGAGUGAAUAGAAUAGAAAAAGGGCUCCUUACAAAAAACCAAAGAUGUGCCAUUACUAUUCCAAUUCACUUUAAUCACUUGUCCUGUAUAGAAAAAAAAGGUAAUCCUAGGUAAACAAAAAUUUUAGGUUAAAUUUGCAAAUCAAAUAAUGUGUCACCAAUAGGAAAUAAGCACGUUAAUCAAUACUUAACUAGUAAUCCAACCAUCAACAACCACAUCACUUAGUUUACAAAAUUUGGUUAAUCUGGUCUACCUAACAUUAUCCAUACAAAAAACCACGCAAUUGUUGAAUUAAGGUGCAGUUAGAUCCAUGUCCAAAAAUCCAAGUUGCUUUUUUAAAUUGAGUCUAAUUGUAACUAACUAUAUCAUAAGAAGGUUAAACAAACUUCCAAUCGAAACACAGUUAAGAUAGAAUUGAAUACAACUAAUUAUGAAGAGGCAGAUUACAAGAAAAAUAUAUCUAUAAUAUAGGUUAGUUAAAAACGAUUUAUCUGCGAUAUAGGCAGAUUAUCGACAAAAAUAAUCUAUAAUAGACGUAUUUUAAAUAAGUAAAGAGAUUGAUAAGUAAAAAGAUUGAAUGCAACAUGAUUGAAGGGAUUUAAUUCUAAUGAUUUAAGAUAUACAAUUCUAUAAAUUUUUUAAUUUUAUCACAAACUUAACAAAAAGAUAAUAGUCACUAGACCUAUUUUUCAAAAGGGAUCUUUUGAUAUAGGCACCUCAAUUUUGAAUUUUCUAGAUCAAACAUUAUAUUGUAAUAAUUUUGGUGCUAUAUGCACAUUAUAUUGUAACAAAUUUCCUAUAAUCUAGCCUUUUGAUUACACUCUCAUCUAUUAGAGAUAAUUGUUAAAAAAAAAAGUUGGUUGUCACAGCCCGUCGCGUGAUUCUUUUUAUCGAGGUUGUGAAAUGACGAAAUUAUCCUUGACGGGUGCUAAGGUAGGUGUGUGACAUAUUAUUGAACAAUGCAUUUUCCCUAAGUUUUGGAAAGUUUGAAUUUUGAUUAAAGGUUGUAUGUGUUUUGUGUGGUUAGGGAAAGAAGUUGGACUUGUUUUGGGAUGGACCACACACACACACGGGAUAACCUCACCCCGUGCUCUCUCUCUCUCUCAUCCUUCUCUGUCACUCUCUCUCUCCCCCUCUCGAAAUUGUACGGACCGACCCAAAAACCCUUGAAACUUCAUGGAUCGAAGUGGAGAUUAGCACCAUUGUGUUCGUGAGUGCCCUAUGAACUCAAAGGUACCAUUUUCAGGUAAGAAACCCUUCAUUUUCACGUUGAAAACUCAAGGUCCGAAUUGAGUACUAUUCAUGAACUUUGUAAUGGUUGGUUAGGACAAUCCAAGCUCAUAGUGAGCUCUAGAAAGUUCCCACGAAGCUCGAGGACGUUCGUUUGGAAGUUUUGGACGUCGGGACACCCUAGUUCGAAGGUGGCCGGUUUUGGUGAAGUUUCCUGACAUGAUUUUCGAAGGUUUUGAGGCUCCAAAGAGGUAUAGCCUUAUUCCCCUCGUGAUUUAGGACAUUUUGGUGAAAAUUUCAUGGAAAAUGGUUAAAAAUCGAGCGAGAAAAGGGCGAUUGCAGGUUUACCCAGUUUCCGACGCUAGCGAGUUUUUUCGGCGACUGGAGGUAGGGGAUGAUGUGCGUGGGGGCGCGUGGACCCGUGCCUGUCCCAGCGCAUGGGGGCGCGUGACAAGCCCAAAAAUUAUUUUAAAAAUAUGUCGAUGUCUGUGACGUCGAGUAGGUCACUUUGGUAUAUUCAUACACCCAAAUUGAGCACCGUAUGAGAAGUUAUUACGAAUUAUCGGUUAUGUGCUUUAAUUAACGUUUUUAUAGUUGUUUUGCAUAUAGGUGAUACCUAUCCCGAGGACGAGCGCAUCCAGGGACGUCACGGGGGUUACGACCCUUCAACUUACCAGUGAGUGGGCAGUAUUUUCUGUAUUUACCUAUAUACUAUUGAUUUUUCCCAAAAAUUGAAUUUAAAUGAAAGUAUGUUUUUAAAAGGCCAUGCAUGCAUAUUGUGAAUUAUAUGAAUUAGUAAUUGAUGCAUAUAUAUGUGAAAUGGUGUUGUGGACGCACAGGUGAGUAUCAGGUGAUUUUAUGUUAUUCAUGUGAAUCAUUGAUGAUGUGAAUUGUGUUGAGAGCUCAUAACCUGCACCCCUGGUGUUAGUGCUUAUAUUAUUCACCCGCACCGCACACUCACCUUGGAUCCAAGUAGGUGUACGUCGUAAAGACCAUGAGAGGGUUCCGACAUGCUAGUCGUACAGAUCACUAGAGGUGGUUCCGACUGGCAGGUGACCUUAGAUUAUGUGCACAGAUGAUUGAUGAGAGAGGCACUACAGCGUAUUAUUACACCAUUAUUGUCGUACAGACUACUUCAGGUAGUUUCGACUUAUGUGCAGAGUAGUGCCGUACAGGUCACCGUGGUGACUCUGGUUGGUUUGGAUAUUGAGCUAUGGAAUUAACCGUACCGGACCAACUGCAGGGUCUCCGGUGGAUUCAUUAUGUCACAUGUUAUAUUGAUGCAUUCUUAAUCUGUUAUUGACAUUUAUGGCAUGGCAUAUUUUCUGGGUUUUGAUAAAGAAUUGUGAUUUGAGAUAUACGAAGAUUAUAUGCAUAUUAUGUUAUUUUCUGGGAAAGUAUACAUGUUUUACAGCGAGGGAUUAGAAAUGUUUUAAAUGAAAUGUUUUUGAGAACUUUGGUUUUACUGACCCACUCAAUUUUGUUUUGCUCCACUCCAGGUUCUAGUUAGCAGCGUUGGUGGCCCACGAGGAUUCCUACGGCGUACUGACAGACUACAUAAAUGUAGGACUCACCUGCGAGUGUUGUAAUUUAGUUUUGGUCCUACUUGACUGCACCUAGUACUUGUGCUCUAAAUUUGUGUGUUUCACACUUAAACUUACUCUAGCACGUUACUUGGUUAUUAUUGCUAGUAUUUGGUUUUUGUUAUUCGUAUUUCUCUUAUCUUUUGCUUCCGCCUCGCACUUUUGGUUACGUCAUGCCCACGUGACGGCCAGCACGCCUUGAUUCUAGGAUCGGGGUGUGUCAUUGGUUAGAUUCAAUUUAUUUUUCACAAUAAUGCUACAAUUUAGCAAUAAUUAUCUACGAUUUAAGAUAUUUUCUUUCCAAAAUAAUUUAAAAUAUUUUAAAUCCCCCAAAAUCAAACGAACCGAAAUAAGUUUUUCUUUUAGUAUGUUAAGAGAAAAUAGGAUUUAGAAUAAUAUAAACGUACCAAUACACAAUGUGUACAAAUAUUAACAAUAUGUAUCAAAUCAAACGUACCAAAAUUGUAAAUAAACGUACCAAUUAAUAAUUUUUAUAAAUUCAAACGUACCCACAAAUAAUAUAUACGUAAUGUAUUGUACCCAAUAAUAAUUUGUCAACAACUAUACUUAAAAAAACAGCAAAAAAAAUUACACGGAGCUUUUAUGUUGAUCACCAACUAUUUGAAAAAGAAAAAACCAUUUCGAAAAAAGAAAUAAUAUUAAAUGUUUGCAGAACCAAAAAAAAAAAAAAAAAAAAAAAAAAAACUAUGAUCGAAAAAACAUAUUUGAAAGAAGAGAAAAUAUAGUUUAAGGGGUGUGCUAUUCACACACCUCAUUUUACUUCUCACACACCCCUUAAUAAUUUAUGUCCGUUGAUCUUCUUCAAUUCAUCCGAUCCGACGGUCGAAAAUUAAAAAGGUGUGUGAGAAGUAAAAUGGGAUGUGUGGAUAUCACAUACCUAGUUUAAUUACUAAUAUCUUCACUAAAUAAGGAAAAGUGCAUCAUGUAGAUAAAAUGAUGAAUUCAAAAAUUAUUUUAAUUUUAAAAAAUAAAGGUGAAUAUUAGUCAAAGCAUUUUAAUCAAAUUUUAAAAAGACAUAGAUGUUUAAUCUAAAUGAUAUAGAAAAACUAUAGAAGAUUCUAAGAACCUGUUUGGUACUCUAAUUGAAUCCAACUUUUUAAACUCAAAAAUAAUUUUCAAGCUUUAGGCCUUAAAAACUUGUUUGGUAGGACUAUUUUAAAAAACUGAACUCAAGACUAACUAAAAAAUAUAAUAUAUUCUUUAAAAACAUAAAAAGUAAGUUUUUAGAUUUUUUAAACUUAAAUUCACUCAUUUCUUUUCUCUCCCUCCUCCCUUCUCACUCCAAAUCUCUCUCUCUCUCUCUCUCUCUCUCUCUUUUCUUCUUUCUCUCUCCCCCUUGUCUUUGUUUUUUACAUUUUUCGUCUUUCUUCCAAUCCGCUCUCUUCAUUCUCUCAGUUCUAUCUCUCACUCCCCUUCCUCUCUAUCUCCUCUGAUCUUCUGUCUUCUUUCUCUUUCCUCCAAUCAUGUCUUACUUUCUUUCCUCCUCUUUCCUCUUUCUCCCUCUCCUGCGACCCUCUCGUUUUAGAUCUCUUUGUCUAGUUUAAGUUGUAAGAUUUAAAAAUUUUAAAUCGCAAACCAAUCAAGUUUUUGAGUCUUAAAGAAAAUUAUUUUCAAGAAAUGUUCUUAACAAAUGUUUUGUACAAUGAUAAAAAUUUUCAAAUAGGAGACCAAACAAACCCUAAUUUUUCCUUUUCAAAAAUAGACUAUUCUUAAUAAUAGCUCACAAAAUUAAAUUUGUCCCCAAAUUUGAUAUGGCAUUCAUGUCUCAGACAAUGACAGGUAAUGUGUGAUUUCAAAAUUCACAUACUACGUGUUUUUGUGGUUGUUGGAAUUUUAAAAGUAUACUGAAAAUGAUUGAAGCACCAUUCCAACUGUCACUACAAAGUGAAGGCGAUCAACAGAAGAAAUCUAAAUUUUCUUUUUAGUCAAUCACGUGUUUUUGUGGUCGUUGGAAUUUUAAAAGUAUACUGAAAAUGAUUGAAGCACCAUUCCGACUGUCACUACAAAGUGAGGGCGAUCAACAGAAGAAAUCUAAAUUUUUCUUUUUAGCCAACUAACCUUACAGUGACUUUUCUACCAUUGUCUUUCUACUUUCUCAACCAAUAAAUAACAAGGCGUCAUGGCAUGCAACAUGAAUUUUUUUUAAUGAAAUGGUCGCAGAGCGGCCUUAUAUUUUUUAUGUCUAAGAAAAAUUGGGCCGGCCGAGCUGACUAUAUGCCGAAUUUGUAAGGCCAUGACUCAACCCACUAGUCGCAAAAAAUUCGGGCCAAUGAGUGAGUUGCUCUGCUCGGUUCAAAUUUUAGCUCUUUAAUUAUUUUCAUUUAAAUGUAAAAAUAGUCAAGUUGUUGAUAAUUAAAUAUAAGACUUUUUGUACUUAAAAAAAAUAUAAGACUUUUUAAUUUUAUUAGUUCUCAUUUACCAUUCCAAAUAAGAUAUUUGUUUGGUUAAUAUAGUCAUUAAAUAAGUAUUGAAAAACAAAUAUUUCAGAUCACGAACUUUUUAUCCCAUCAAAACAACAAAACUUAAAAAACAAAAGGCGUGUACAAAUAACACCAAAUAAGCUUUUGGUCUUUGGAGUAAUAAUUUAAUGGGGUCUAAUAGUGUAUUGGAUGCGUUCAUUUGCCAAAAUGAGAAACAAUUUCAGGUAAAGAACUUUUCACCUCAUAAUUACAACACUCCAAAAACAAAAAACAUGUACAAAUGACACAAAAUAAAACUUUGGCUUUUUGAGUACUCAUUUUUUAUGGGUCUAAUGCGUAUUGGAUGUUUUCAGUUGCCAAACACUCAAAAAACAAAACACGUGUACAACUGACUCCAAAUAAGCUUUUGGCCAUUUGAUUACUCAUUUUAAGGGUCUAAUAGCAUAUUGGAUUGUUCAUUUUCCAAAAUGAGAAACAAUUUCGAAUCCCAUACUUUUGAAACAAUCAAUCCAACAUCACUUCAAAAACUAAAAAACGUCUACAAAUGACACCAAAAUAAGCUUCUAGCCUUAUGUGUACUUAAAUUACACCAAAUCAUAUCGGGUCGAGCCUAAGAAUAGAACCUAAAAUGCAAGGCCUAAGCCCUACCCCAUUUAUAAUCAGGCAGGCUAAAGCACGACCCUAAGACUGGGUUGAAAAAUUAGGGCUGGGCUAGCCUAUCAAGCCUCAUUCCUUUUUAUUAGUCUAUCUGAUACAGUCUUGGGUGUAUUCAAUUAUGAUUUUGAAGGAUUUUAAAACAGUUUACAAAUUCAGACAAUUUUAAAUGAAUUCAUGAAAGUUUAGGGGGUAUGCAAUCAAGAUUUUUAAAAGAGUAUAUAAACUCAAGGUAUAUUCAAUCAAAAAUUAAAUUUAAAGGAUUUUAAAAAUUAAACUAUUUUGAUAGAAUUAGAGGAAUUAAAAAAGAUUUUAGGCUUUAGUAAAUCAUGCAUGUCUCCUAAAAUUUUUAAUGAAUUUAUCUCAGGUUCACAUAGAGUCUAUUAAACUCUGUUAAACUUAAAGAAUUUGUAACUCUUUUUAAAUCCUUCAAAUUCUAAAUUGAAUACACUCAAGUUAGUAAGAUUAAUACCACUUGCUUUUGGAAAAAAAAAAAAAAAAAAAAAAAAAACUACUUGCCAAGCAAAAAUCUAGUCAUCAACUGUCGCAUCAUGUAGCUUUCAAAUAUGGUCUAAAAAAUGAUCUCCCUACCAUUUUUCUUUACAAAAUGCUCUUAAUUAUUUAACAGAGUAAAGCUUAAUGUGGAUUGGUGUCACAAGGGAAUGGUUAAUACCAUUGGUGCUAGUCGUUGUUGAAUAUUUUAAGAAUAUAUAUAUAUAUAUAUAUAUAUAUAUAUAUAUAUAUAUAUAUAUAUAUAUAUAUAUAUAUAUAUAUAUACAGCUGUUUGACUGACAGGGAAUGGGAUUGGGUUAUUGAUCCAAAAAACACAUCUCUUCAAUUUGAACAUGCAUCUUUUGAUUGUUGCCAAAAAGACAUGUUUCAUGAUCCUUCAGGUAAGAGGUGUUUUGUAUCAGAUAUGUCCAUUGGACAUACUGCUGCAAUGUGUUGUAUCCUAUGGUGAAAAGAUAAACUCAAAUCAAAGGAUGUGUCUAACGGAUGUAAUUCUCUCUAUAUAUGUUGGCACUAGUAGAAAAAAACACUUUGCGCGACGUACGUACAUUCGUCAAGCAAAGUCAAAAAUCGUUGCCUAAGGGUUUGCGCGAUGCAACCUUCGUCGUGCGCUAACCGUCGUGCCAAGGCAGUGAUGGUAGGAUUUGUGUGACAAAGAAAUAACAUGCGUCGCGCAAAGUGGCUUUGCGUGACGCACGGCCUACAUCGUGCAAAGAUACUUUGCGUGACGCACUUCCUACGUCGUGCAAAGCCACUUUGCGUGACGCGCGUCCUACGUCGUGCAAAGCCACUUUGCGCGACGUGCGUGCGUCGCGCAAAGUGACUUAAUGGCAAAAAUAUUUUUUAUUUACUUUUUAAUAAAUAUUGUAAUUAAAUUCUAAACAAUAAUUAAUAAACCAAGAAAAAAUAUUUAAUUAUAAAAUAUAUGAAAAUGUACAUACAAGAUGUCCGAACAAAAAUAGGAAAAACUACAAUAACUAUCUUCUAGGUUUGAUACAUCAAGCUACUGGGUAUCGGCUAGGCAAAGUGGCUGGGAGGUCAAAGAUGGAGCAAGAUCAAGUGCUAGCAUCAGGAUUUUGCUUGACAGUCUUCAUAGUUAGCGUGCUCAGCUCCAAGGCAUCAAGUAACUGCAAGAAAUUGUGAAGAUCAAAUAUCCUACACAACAGUGCUUAUUAUAUGAAAAGAAAGAUAACUACCUUUUCCAUCAGUGCUCCACCAAUCAACAUUAUGCAAAAUUUUCAAAUAAUCCUUUAUAGAUGGUGAAAAGAAUUCCGCUGCACUCUUCAAUUAUUCAUUCAUAGUUGCGGAUGGUAAACGUCUAAAAGAAAAUUUUGCUACAACAGCAUGUAAUCCUCUAUAGUUUGGUUUCCAAAAAUAAUAUUGCAGAAUCUGAUACCUAUUUCUGCUUUCAAAAACAACCUGGGAGGUGUUCGUGCAAAUAAUCCUACUACAAUGUUAUAUUUUUAAGAAAAUUACCUAUGAAAGUCUGUUGCCCAAUAGCACAAUAGAAGACACCUCACUAGCAGCUCCAACACCACCACCCAUGGCAAUUCCAACAUGCGAUGAAGCCAAUGCUGCAGCAUCCAUCACCAACCAUUGCUACGACGUUCUGAUCCUUCUGAAGUUCCAUUAUGAAAUUCUUCUUUUCCGUCGGUUUAACACCAGAUAUCACCUGCAACCCACAUCAUAGGCUAUACAAUUAAAUUCGAUAGAGAAAAGAAAAAAUGGGAUCCAGUUUGAUACCGGGCAACUAUUUGGGCAUCAGUUUCAAAUGAGUUUAGGGAUUGAGUAUUCUCACUCUUCUAUAAUGACGAAUGUGUUAGCAGCUGUGAUUAAGUUUAGGUUUCAAGUCUUGAGGUUUUUGUAUUAUAGGCUAGGUAUACAGAUUGUGGAUACCUUAUCCAAAAGUUGUAUUGUUUAUGAUAUUAUUAAAAAUCUUUUUCAUUUCAAAAAAUAAAUUAAAAUAAAGGAUAGAGGACAAGCUUUUGGUGUUCUGCUUGAAGUUGUUUCACGAUUUUUUACAUUUUUCCAAAUUGAUAAAAUUUUUGUUUCCCAUCAAAGAAAGAAGUAAUUAAGAACUCCUUGCCUUCUCUAUCGGAAUACCAACAGCAGACGCGAUGUACUCCGCGUUAUUGUUUUGUACCCAGAUAGCAUGUAUACAUCGAUCCUUGCUUAGAUAAAGAUUUAACAACUUGUCCAGCAUCUACCCUUAUCUGAUCCUCAAAAUAAAUGAGACCGGCAAGAGUACUAUCAAUGCCAACAUAUACAAUAGAUUGACUCGUAUGGGCUUCUACUUCUUCAAAUGGGUAACUCCAUGCCUGCAUAUAUUUAGUUUUUCAAUGGGACCUCAAUACAUGAUCCAAGAUUAAAUUAUUUGCCAUAUUAAGAAGGAAAAAAAAACAAAAGAUAUCUUAUUUGGAAGAUGAAAACAACUAAGCCUUUGGUUCCCAAAAUUAAUUUCCAUGGUAAGCAAAAUAGUCAAUCCAUCUUCUGGGGUCAUUUAAGAGUUCGGCAAACAAUCAAGAGUAACAUUUAGAAUUGGUCCAUGAACCAAAAAUCUGUUAAUUGAGAUCCCUAAAUUUAACAAAACAUGCGCCCUUGGUUGCCUUCAAUAUACCUUCAAUUCCCUAACACCAAAUGAGCCCUAAAAGUUUUCUAAGAUUCUACAUAUCUUUAAUGAAUCUCUAGGAUUUUCUUUUAAAGUCGUUUUGAUGCCAAAAACCUUUAGAAAAUAAGGCACACUUUUGUAAGCCAAAGUCAAAUUGGAGAAAGAAAUAAGCAUCUGUUGAAGUACCCCUAUAUCUUCUUAGUCUCUCUAAGCUGCUUCUGUUUUCUACAAAUUGUGCUACUUAUAGAACUUCAUUUGAGUGCUCCUGUAAGUUGAAUCUGUCAAGCAUUACUUCUCCAUGUACAUUGUUAUUUAUAUCCUAAGGAGUUAUCAUGAUCAUAGACAGCACUCUAUGUUGUCCUAUAUGAAUCUAAAUUUUCAAUAAUAGGAUUAUAAAUUCUCUUAACAAUGGUCCAGGGCCAAUGCCUAUCAGCAUUACACCUUUACAAGAAGCAAAUUCACAUUCAAAUAUGCAAUGAUACAAACUAUUAGAUUCCAUUAUACCCUGUAAUUACCUUUGAACCCAUUCCAAAGUCCCAACAGAAACCUUUUUGUUCUCAAUAGUUGCUACAGCACCAGAACCAGGUUCUUCCAAGAAUAUUCCAUCCGUAACCUGGAAUAAAGUGCACAGUUUAGGAUCUGAGCAUCAUGAUUUUUUCGGAACCUUAUCCAGCUGAUGCAUGCACUUAAUGAUAUAAUCCUCUUCUAGAACACCAAGGAUUUGUUCACAGAACUGCAGUCUUUCUUUUUCUUUGUAAGAGAUGAAGCUCACAUAGGGGAGAAAUUAAAAGCAGAACUCCAGCACCACUCUAUACAAAAAUCCAGCCCAGUUAAGACGAAGGCACACUAAAGGGACAUCCUCAAAGUGCUUAGACCAAAGAUUCCCAAACAGAUACAAUAUCUAGUUGUCCCAAAUAAAAUCCAUUAGCUAGAGAAAAUAUAACCUGUGAAUAGAGACAACCACAAGAAACACCUCACUCGGCAUAACUUGCAUACCGAUCCAUCCAAAGAUUCAUUGAUCAAGCGAUCGAUAAUUCCCUCUCUUUGAGAUUUCAAGUGAUGCACAAACUAAAGAUUCAUUGAACAAUCACAUCUGCUAUUACCUUAAAUCUUUCAUCUUUUCAAACUUGCACAAUUGAAAGAAAUUUCAUAUUUCUGUGCCCUGUGUGUGUAAGACAGAGAAAGAGAGAGAGAGAGAGUACCGUGAGAUGAAGUCGAAGUUGGGAGAGUAGCGAAGGGUUUCUGCACAUUAACCGGAGAGAUGGCGAAAGAGAGUUGCAGAUCGGCGAAAGAGAUGGCGAAUAUGUGUGAUUUAGGUUUCGAUUUUGUAAGAACAAUGAUUAUAAAGGGUAACACGCUACCAAAACCCACAGGUAAGAAACUCACAGAUUGAGCUAUCAAAAACAAAACAAAACCGACCCACAUGAAAAAAAUUAAAUCUAAUGGUAAUUAUCUCAUUCAACCCACAUCAAUCCGAGUCCCAUAAAACCCUAAUUUCAUAACCAUAACAGCGAAACCAGCACGAAACGACUGAUAUCAAAUCAAAACGACAGCAACCAUAUCCAGAAACAAAACAAAAAAUCUAAUCAGCAAUUACCAUCAAUCUAAUUAGACCGUAUACUUACAUGAACAAAAUCGAGCGGCGGUCGGAGAAACAAAUGGGCGAUUGGGCGGGAAAGCCUUGUGUGAGCUGAGCUGAGGAGGAGAGUCGGCUGGAGUGGAAGAGAUUAGGGUUUGGGUUGGGAAGAGAGAGAGGAUGAGGAUUGAAAGAAGAUGAGGAGGAAGGCUACGGGAGAAGAGAGACCGAGUGAGAGAGAGGGCCAGAUGAGCGAGAGACAGUUCGGGUCUCGGAAAUAUUUGUCCGGGAAAAUUAAAAAAAAACAACUUUAACGAAAAGCUCCCGGUACUGUUCACUCUAACGAAAAACUACAUUUUUACACUAAAAAAUCAAUCCUGAUACUAUUCACUUUACCCUUUAUUUUGUCCUUGUUAUUAAAACUCAAAGUUUUCAAACCUUUUUCAUUAGUUUUCCUUUUAAAAAAAAAAGCGCUUAAUUUUUACAUUUGCACCGCCAGAAUUAUCACUGGCGCGACGCAAGUAUACAUCUCAACGUCACGCAAAGUAUUUUUGCGUGAUGAUCACAUUGUGGCGUCACGCAAGGUAUUUUUUUUUUUAAAUAUUACAAAAUUUAUUGAAAAUGUGACUUUACUCCCUUCAAAAGUGGUUUGAACGAUCCAACCGUCAAACUUGUAUGUAUAUAUUUUGAGAUCGCAUACGCCAAAAAUCCCAAAAAAUAAACAUUCAGAGAUCAAGUAACGAGACAAAACUUUUCAACGGUUAUAAACGAAAAAAUUACGAUUUAACGGUUAUUUUAACUCCGAUUUUGAUAAUUUUUUACAGCUACACUCCUUGACCCUAUAUGAAUACAACGAACUGAUUCGAUCGUCAAUUUAAAAUAUUUACACAAGUGGUUACCACAAAAUCUUAUGUUAUACUUGAUGAAAGUAUAAAUAAAUUCCAAGUGUUAGGGAAUUUAUCGUUUUGAUGGGAUACGCAUUGUACAAAACUAAUUUCAAUGAUCCAACCAUCAAACUUGUUUGUAUAUACUUCGAUAUUGCAUACGCCAAAAAUCACAAAAAACAAACAUUCAGAGCUCAAGUAACGGGAUAAAACUUUUCGACGGUUAUAAACGAAAAAUCACGAUUUAACGGUAGUUUUAACUUCAAUUUUUUAACUUCAAUUUUGAUGAUUUUUUACAGCUACACUCUUUAACCCUAUAUGAAUACAACGAACUGAUUCGAUCGUCAAUUUAAAAUAUUUACACAAGUGGAUACCACAAAAUCGUAUGCUAUACUUGAUGAAAGUAUUAAUAAAUUCCAAGUGUUAGUGAAUCUAUCGUUUUGAUGGGAAACGCAUUGUACGAAACUAGUUCGAACGAUCCAACCGUCAAACUUGUUUUUAUUUGCUUCAAGAUCGCAAACGCCAAAAAUCGCAAAAAACAAACAUUCAGAGAUUAUGUAACAGGACAAACCUUUUUUACGGCUAUAAACGAAAAAACAUGAUUUAACGGUUAUUUUAACUCUGAUUUUGAUAAUUUUUUACAGCUACACUAUUUAACCUUAUAUGAAUACAAUGAACUAACUCGAUCGUUAAUUUAAAACAUUUACACAAGUGGAUACAACAAAAUCUUAUGUUAUAUUUAAUGAAAGUAUAAAUAAACUCCAAGUGUUAGUGAAUCUAUUGUUUUGAUGGGAUACGCAUUGUACGAAACUAGUUUCAACGAUCCAACUGUCAAACUUGUUUGUAUAUGCUUCGAGAUCGCAUACCAAAAAUCGCAAAAAAAAAACAUUCAAAUAUCAAGUUACAGGACAAACCUUUUCGACGGCUAUAAAUGAAAAAUCAUGAUUUAACGGUUAUUUUAACUCUGAUUUUGAUUUUUUUUUACAGCUACACUCUUUAACCCUAUAUGAAUACAAUGAACUAAUUCGAUCGUCAAUUUCAAACAUUUGCACAAGUGGAUACCACAAAAGAAAAAGGCAAUGCAAGAACCCCAAAAGAAAAGGAAAAGGGCAAAAAAAAAAAAAAAAAAAAAGGAACUUUGCGCGACGUAGGUACAACUGCGUUGCGCAAACCAUCUUUGCGCGAUGUAGUUGUACCUACGUUGCGCAAAGUCCUUUUUUUUUUUUUUUUUUUGCCCUUUUGCUUAUUGGUACAAAAUAAAUAAAUUAAAAUCUACUUAGUAAAUACAUAUACAAUUGAACUUGAUGGGAAACGCAUUGUACAAAAUUAGUUUCAAUGAUCCAACCGUCAAAUUUGUUUGUAUAUAUUUUGCGAUCGCGUACGCCAAAAAUCGCAAAAAAAAAAACAUUCAGAGAUUAAGUAACGGGACAAACCUUUUCGACGGUUAUAAAUGAAAAAUCAUGAUUUAACGGUUAUUUUAACUUCGAUUUUGAUGAUUUUUUACAGCUACACUCCUUGAUCCUAUAUGAAUACAACAAACAAAUUCGAUUGUCAAUUUGAAAUAUUUACACAAGUGGAUACCACAAAAUCUUAUGUUAUACUUAAUGAAAGUAUAAAUAAACUCUAAAUGUUAGUGAACUUAUCGUUUUGAUGGGAAAUGCAUUGUACGAAACUAGUUUGAACAAUCCAACCGUCAAACUUGUUUGUAUAUGCUUCGAGAUCGCAUAUGCCAAAAAUCGCAAAAAACAAACAUUCAGAUAUCAAGUAACGAGACAAACAUUUUCGACGACUAUAAAAGAAAAAUCAUGAUUUAACGGUUAUUUUAACUCUGAUUUUGAUGAUUUUUUAUAGUUACACUUUUUAAACCUAUAUGAAUACAAUGAACUAAUUCGAUCGUCAAUUUAAAACAUUUACACAAGUGCAUACCACAAAAGAAAAAGGCAAUGCAAGAACCCCAAAAAAGCAGGUGUUGCGUCGCACAAAACAGCUUUGCACGACAUAGAUACACAGCUUUGCGUGAUGCAACACCUACGUCGCGCAAACGUUUUUUUUUUUUUUUUUUGCCCUUUAUGAGUACAAAAUCUACUUAGUAAAUAUAUAUACCGUUGAACUUGAUAGGAAACACAUUGUACGAAAUUAGUUUCAACGAUCCAACCGUCAAACUUGUUUUUAUAUACUUCGAGAUCGCAUACACCAAAAAUCGUAAAAAGAAAAUAUUCAUAUCAAGUACCAGGACAAAACUUUUCAACGGUUAUAAACGAAAAAUCACGAUUUAAUGGUUAUUUUAACUCCGAUUUUGAUGAUUUUUCACAGCUACACUCCUUGACCCUAUAUAAAUACAACGAAUAGAUUCGAUCGUCAAUUUAAAAUAUUUACACAAGUGGAUACCACAAAAUCUUAUGUUAUAUUUAAUGAAAGUAUGAAUAAACUCUAAGUGUUAGUGAACCUAUCGUUUUGAUGGGAAACGCAUUGUACGGAACUAGUUUGAACGAUCCAACCGUCAAACUUGUUUGCAUCUGCUUCGAGAUCGCAAACGUCAAAAAUCGCAAAAAACAAACAUUUAGAGAUUAUGUAACGGGACAAACCUUUUUUACUGCUAUAAACGAAAAAUCAUGAUUUAAUGGUUAUUUUAACUCUGAUUUUGAUGAUUUUUUUACAGCUACACUCUUUAAACCUAUAUGAAUACAAUGAACUAAUUCGAUCGUCAAUUUAAAACAUUUACACAAGUAGAUACCACAAAAGAAAAAGGCAAUGCAAGAACCCCAAAAGAAAAGCAAAAGGAAAAAAAAAACCUUUGCACGACGUAGGUGUUGCGUCGUGCAAAAUAGCUUUGCACGACGUAGUUGCACCUACGUUGCGCAAAGCUGUUUAGCGUGACGCCAUCCUUCGUCGCGCAAAGGUCGUUUGCGUGAUGUUUUGUGUUUUGAGUCGCACAAACAUACUUUGCACAACAAAAUUUGCUCCGUCGCGCAAACAUGUUUUUCUACUAGUGUGGUGACAUUAGUAGAAAAUGAAUCUUUCAGAAAUUUGUUGUCUUCACAAUUUCAGAAAUUUAUUUCUACAUUCCUUUCUCUCUUUUUUCUCCAUCACAUUCUUACAAUUUCUUUCUAAUUAUUUCUAAGGGAAUAUAAUUCGGUUUUGCUAAUCGAAUAUUCCAUACUUUGUUGUAUCCUGAAAGUGAUUUGCCAAGAACCCUUUAGCAAACUCAUUCGAGUGGGGGCCAAUAACACUUUAAGGAAACGUUCAAGUCGUACCUCAAAGUCAUCAUUCGGAUUAUUCUCUAUAUUUCUACAUUUACUUUAACAAUCUUAAAGUGUUAUUUUCGUCAUGGAGAACAAAUCUGAUAACAUGACUUUGAAGAUUAUCAAUCAAGAUGUCUACAAGUUAGACAAAUUUGAUGGAUCAAAUUUCACUCGAUGGAAGGACAAGAUGCGUUUCAUGCUUACUGUUCUAAAUGUUAUAUAUGUUUUGGACCCGAAAUUGGAGCCUAUUUGUGAACCAAGUGACAAAGACUUGGACAAUAUAGUUGCCGAUCGAAAGAAGCGUGAAUAAAAUGAAUUGGUAUGUCGAGGACACAUCUUGGGCACAUUAUCUGAUCGCUUAUAUGACUUGUAUGCACACAUUCAAUCUCCAAAGGAAAUUUGGGAAGCACUUGAACACAAGUAUACAACGAAGAAAAGAGGUUCCGAUAAAAUUUUAAUGUUCAAAUAUUAUGAAUUCACUAUGUUUGAUAACAAACUCAUCCUAGACCAAGUUCAUGAAUUAUUGGUCUUGGUUUCAAAGCUUCGUGAACUUAAAAUAGUUAUUCCGAAUCCUUUGAUAGUUGGGGCUAUUAUGGCAAAAUUACCCCAAACAUGGAAUAACUAUAGAAAGAAACUUCUACACAUGGUGGAACAUAUUAGUUUUGAGGAUUUGCAAAAGGGUAUUCAAAUUGAAGAGGAAACUCGAAAUCGUGAUAAGAAUUUUGCAAAUCAAGAUUUCUCUAAAGUUUACAUUGUCGAAGGAAACAAAUAUAAAAAGAACUUCAAAGUCAAAAUUGACAAGGGGAAGUUUAAGAAGACCAAUUCCAACAACAAUCAAAAGAAUGCUAAUGGUGUCUGCUACCAUUGUGGAAAGAAAGCCCAUUACAUUUGUGAUUGUAGACACAAAAAAGCAAGUGAGGAAUAUGCCAAUAAGACCAAUAGGGCAAAUAUGGUUGAAAACUCUGGAAUCGAUAACAUUGUUGCAAUGGUAUCAAUGAUGCAUAUUGGCAUGAUUACCGAACUAAAUAUGGCAGCGGCAAUAAAAUUCUCCGAUUGGUGGCUCGACUCAGAGGCUACUAUACAGCGCAAUUCAAGACAUACGAAGCAUCAACGGACAAUCAAGAGGUUUUAAUGGGGAAUCAUAAUUCCGCCAAAGUUCUAGGAAAAUGAACCAUUGAACUUCAAUUUACUUCUGGGAAGAAAUUGACAUUGCUUAAUGUACUGCAUGUUCCAGAAAUUAAAAAGAAUCUUGUGUUUGCAAAUUUAUUAUGUAAGAACGGUAUAAAAACUGUUCUAGAGUCUGACAAGUUAAUAAUGUCGAAAAAUGGGAUGUUUGUUGGGAAUGGGUAUUCUUGUGAUGGGAUGUUCAAACUAAGUAUUAAUAAUAAAGUGAAUUCUUCUGCUUAUAUUGUUGAAUCUUCCUCUCAUUUAUGGCAUUUACGUUUAGCACAUAUAAAUUUUAGAUCUUUAAAAUACAUGCGCACAUUUGGUUUAAUUGCUUGCAAUGAUGAUUAUAAUGAUAAAUGUGAAAUAUGUAUUCAAGCGAAAAUGGCUAAGAAACCUUUUCCAAUUGCUGAAAGAAAUACAAAUUUAUUAGACUUAAUACAUUCUGACAUAUGUGAAUUCAAUGGUAUUUUAACAAGAGGAGGAAAAAGAUAUUUUAUCACAUUUAUGGAUGAUUGUUCUAAGUUCACUUGUGUUUAUUUAUUGUCUAAUAAAGAUGAAGCUUUUGAGUGUUUGAAUCGCUAUAAAGCUGAAGUUGAAAACCAAAAAGGAAGGAAAAUCAAAUGCCUUCGUAGUGAUAGAGGUGGUGAAUAUUUUUCAAAUGAAUUUGAUAUUUUUUUGUGAAGAGCAUGGUGUUAUACAUAAAAAAACUGCACUCUAUACACCACAACAAAAUGGUUUGGCAUAAAUGAUUAAUUCUAUGAUGAUUAAUGCUAAUACUCCAAAAUAUUUAUGGGGUGAAGCAUUGUUUACUGCAUGCCAUAUACACAAUAGAAUUACAUCUACGAAGACACAUGUGUCACCGUAUGAAAUUUGGAAAGGAAGAAAACCAAAUUUGUCUUAUUUGAGAGUAUGGGGUUGUGUAGCUUUUUAUAAGGCACUCGAUCCUAAGAGAUCCAAGUUGGGUCCAAGAGGAAUUAAAAGCAUAUUUGUAGGAUAUGCAGAAAAUUUAAAGGCAUAUAGGUUGUUUAAUUUAGACUCGAACACAAUAGUUGAGUCUAGAGAUGUCGAAUUUAUAGAAAAUAAAUUCUAUAAUGACUACUCAAUAUCUGGAAAAGAGAAUGAUCAAACACCUUUCUCUAAUCCAUCUACUAAUUCUUGGUGAUAAAAGAAAACAGUCUGAAGCUGUUAAUGAACCAAGGAAAAGCCAAAGGGUAAGAAAAGAAAAGACUCUAGGCUUUGAUUUUAUUUCAUCUCAAUCUAUUGUAUUUUUAGUCGAAGGAAAUAGAACAAAGAUUCUUAAGAAAAUACUCAUAUUGUUGAAUAUUGAGGAUGAUCCUAAAAGUCUAAGCGAAACAUUAACUUUAAAAGAUGCAGCCUUUUGGAAAGAGACUAUAGAUGAUGAAUUUGAAUCAUUAAUAUCUAAUCAGACAUGGGUUUUAGUAGACUUGCCUCAAGGAUCAAAAGCAAUAGGUUGUAAGUGGGUAUUUAGAAGAAAAUACAAUACAGACGGGUCUAUUCAGACAUUUAAAGCCAGGCUGGUUGCCAAAGGUUUUAAGCAGAAAAAAGGAAUAGACUAUUUCGAUAUAUAUGCACCAGUAGCUAGGCUCACAUCAAUUAGAAUAUUGUUUGCAUUGGCAUCUUUAUAUAAUUUGCAUGUGCAUCAAAUGGAUGUGAAAAACAACAUUUUUAAAUGGUGAUUUGGAUGAAGAAGUCUACAUGGAACAACUAGAAGGGUUUGUUCUCCCUAGGAAUGAAAAUAAAGUUUGUAAAUUAGUCAAGUCGUUAUAUGGAUUGAAGCAAGCACCAAAACAAUGGCAUGAAAAGUUUGAUACUGUCAUUUUAUCAUAUGGAUUUAGACAUAAUAAUGCUGAUAAAUGCAUAUACUCUAAAUUCACAAAUGAUUAUGGUGUGUUGUUAUAUGUUUAUAUACUAUCUUGGGAAUUAAAGUAAAGAAGCAUAAUAGAGGUUACGCUUUAUGUCAGUCACAUUAUAUAGAAAAAAAUACUUUUUAAGUUUAAGCAUCUACAAAUAAAAGAAGCAAAUACCACUUAUGACCCUAGUGAGACUUUGCUUAAUAAUUCUGGUAGGUCCAUUGCACAGCUUGAGUAUGCUAGUGUAAUUGAAAGUUUAAUGUAUGUCAUGCAUUGUACUAGGCCAGAUAUCGCAUUUGCAACAAGCAAAUUUUCUAGAUACACUAGUCAUCCAGGUACUGCUCAUUGGAAAGCAAUAAAUAGAAUCUUUGGUUAUCUUAAAAGAACUAUUAACCUGAGUUUAACUUACUAUGAGUUUCCAGCAAUAUUUGAAGGAUAUUCAAAUGCAAGUCAGAUAACAAGUGCUAAUGAUAAUAAGUCUACAUCAGGGUGAAUUUUUACAAUUGCCGGAGGAGCAAUUUCUUAGGCUUCAAAGAAGCAAACAUGUAUAACACAUUCAACUAUGGAAUCUGAAUUUAUAGCAUUAGCAGAAGCAUGUAAAGAAGCGGAAUGGAUUAGAAAUGUGUUAUUGGAAAUAGAGUUGUGGCUACAACCAAUGCCAUCCAUUUCUUUAUACUGUGAUAGUGAGGCUACUUUGUCUAGAGCAUACAAUAAGGUAUACAAUGGAAAGUCUAGACAUAUUAGCUUGAGACAUGAAUAUGUCAAGCAAUUAAUAACUGAUGGAGUUAUUAAUAUUGUUUAUGUUAAAUCAAGUAAUAACUUGGCGGAUCCGUUAACUAAAACACUUUCAGGAGCUUUGGUAGUUAGAACAUCUAGUGGAAUGGGGCUAAAACCCUUUACUGAAAAUUAGCCACCAAUAAUGGUAACCCGACUUUCUCUAGAACAUCACUAGUUUAAAAGUUUAAUGGGUAAUAACAAGUUAUUGAUAAGUGGUUGUGAAAGCACUGCAAAUUAAUAUAUAGCUCAUUCCAGGAUGAUCAGUGCAAGACUGCUACGUUUAGGAGGAUGAGUUUUAUCUCUUAAUGAGGUUAUUUGUAAUUAUGUCUAUAGUAGCAGGGACAUGGGAACGAACCUCACCUAUAUGAACAUAAGAAGUGGUGCCGCUUCUACCAAGUGUUGGGUUUUCUCUUGUAAAUGUUUAUGAAAUCAUGAUGAAGCACAAGGCCAUAAUAGUGCUUAAUUAGUUCUGAAAAUUCUUUAAGGAAAUAAGACAUAAUCAUGUGUGUAGCAAUUCCGGUUUUAACAUAAGAAUAGUUGGUUUAAACUUAGGUCACCAUCGCAUUCAUUACAACUUUGAAUUACUUACACUAAUUAAAGGUUUAAUUCGAAAGACACCUUUAUUGUAUGCAUGAUUAUAUCGGUAUGCUUGUGAUUAAUUGUACAGAGAGAAUUAUUAUUAUACCAUUUAUUAUAUAUUCUUAAAAUAGGGAAGGAUUGUUGAAUAUUUUAAGAAUAUAUAUAUGGGGCUGUUUGACUGACAGGGAAUAGGAUUGGGUUAUUGACCCAAAAAGCACAUCUCUUCAAUUUGAACAUGCAUUUUUUGAUUGUUGCCGAAAAGACAUGUUUCAUGAUCCUUUGGAUAAGAGGUGUUUUGUAUCAAAUAUGUCCAUUGGACAUACUGCUGCAAUGUGUUGUAUUCCAUAGUGAAAAGACAAACUCAAAUCAAAGGAUGUGUCUAACGGGUGUAAUUCUCUCUAUAUAUAUUGGUGACAUUAGUAGAAAAGGAAUCAUUCAGAAAUUUGUUGUCUACACAAUUUGAGAAAUUUAUUUCUACAUUCCUUGCUCUUUUCUUUCUCCAUCACAUUCAUAAUUUUUCUUUCUAAUUAUUUCUAAGGGAAUAUAAUUCGGUUUUGCUAAUCGAAUAUUCCAUAUUUUGUUGUAUCCUGGAAGUGAUUUGCCAAGAAUCCUUUAGCAAACUCAUUCGAGUGGGGGCAAAUAACACUUUAAGGAAACGAUUUAAGUCGUACCUCAAAGUCAUCAUUCGAAUUAUUUUCUAUAUUUCUACAUGUACUUGAACAAUCGUGUCCUCAGAAACUCAUAGGGUAUGGGUAUUUGGUUUUUAUGCUAAUCUUGGUCGAGGUGAGAUUCUACGUGCUGAAGUUUAGAGUGUUAUUGGGUUGCAACUUGUGUGGAAUAAUGAAAUUGUUACCAAAAAAGAAUAAAGAAAUUAAGAAGAUUAUGACCGAAUCGAAUUUUGCACUUGAAGUACAAUAAAUGUUAAAUGCAAAAGUGGAUAAGUACCCUCUGAAAGGUUAGUAAUUGACUUCUUGUGCUCUUAUGCAGUAGUUAUAGACUAUGAUUUUAAGAAAAUUUGACAAUAACGUAAGAUUUUUUGUUUUUUUUUUGUUUUUGUGGUUUUAACAUUAUAGAAAGCAUACUGAAAAUGAUUGAAGCACCAUUCCAACUGUGCGGGCCAUCUUUGGUAGCAGUCAACAAUAACCCUCUGAAAAGUUAGUAUGACUUCUUGUGCUCUUAUGCAGUAGUUAUUGACUAUGAUUUUAAGAAAAUUUGACAAGGACAUAAGAAGUUUUUUGGUUUUUGGUUUUUGUGUGGUUGUAGCAGUCUAGAAAGCAUACUGAAAAUGAUUGAAGCACCGCUCCAACUGUGCGGGCGAUCUUUGGUAGCAGUCAACAGAAGAAAGCCAAAGUUUCUUUAACGUCUACUUAGGACCUUGACAUUCUUUCAAUUUUUUUAUUGAACUCUGUUAAACUUUAUGAAUAUAUAACUCUUUUUAAAUCCUUGGAUUAAUACCACUUGCUUGGGAAAGAAAUUACUACUUGAUAAACUUUAUAUUUAUUGACCUCUUCUCACAACAUAAAUGAUUGAUUGAGCUUAUCCUGAUAAUAAAAAUUAGGGUAAAUAUCAGUUUACUACCAUCAUGUUUCGUGGUUUUCAACAUUUAGUACAUCAAGUUUUUUUGUCUCAGAGUCAUACCUAAAGUGUAAAUUUUGGGACAGUCUCAUACAUCCAUUAAUCAAACUGUUAAGUCUUCCGUUAAAUGAUGAUGUGGCACCCACGUGGACAAUGACUGGGCGCCACGUGUCAAUAAGGGUCCCACGUGGAUAUUAAAAAAAAAAUUAAAAAUUACAAAAAAAAAGGACUAUUCUUUCUCAACCCCGACCGUCCCUUCCUUCUCCCUCCCUUCUCGGCCUCCACCCAUAUGUGCAAAUCCAACCCUCUCCUUCCCUCAACCCCCGACCUUAACCCCACACUCAAUUUAAAUAAAUAAAAUAAAAAGUUUAUGGGCACCCUACCCCAACCCCCGACCCUCUCCCUUCCUUCUCUCUUUUGCUCACCCUCCUCCGCACGCCCACAGACCCACCCAUUUCCCUCAUUCUCCUUCCCUUCUCUCCUCUGCAGUCCACAAAGAUUUAUUGUUAGGAAGCCCAUUUACUGCUGUCAAGAUACCCAUAAAGCUCUGUCGCAAACCAGAGAAUUUGAAUCUCUUUUUCCCACACAAAAUUUUCAAAUCCCAAAAACAACUAUCUGAAAUUUCAAAAUUCAAAAAAGCUCACUGACUGGAAAGAGAAUUUGAAUCUCUAAAAGGAAAAGGCAACGGCGAAAAAUUCAUAAACUCCUUGUAAAAAUUUUGAACUUUUGAACUUUUGAAUUCAAUUCUAUUUUUUUCUCACCUUUGGGCUUAAUUUAUGUUUGGCUACAAAGAAAAUGGCGUUGAGCAUGAUGCACCAGAUCAGCGCGCUCUCCGGGACUCCAAUUAAGACGACCGAAGCCAGCUCAUCAUCCGUAGAAUUGGUUAGCGUGUCUCCAAUGUGGAAGUCUCCGACAGCGGGUCUGACUUGCAAAAUUCAGAAGCCAGAAAGGUUUGACAGGCUGUCGCCGCUGUUGAGUCCGUGCAGAUCGCUGGUUCUCGGGUCUAGCCAGCCGAAUCUGUCCAUGGCGUGCAGGGCGUUCGCGACGGAGGCAGAAUCAUCAGUGUUUGAGCACCAGGUGAGGGGUACGCACGAUAAGGGGACGGGAGUGCUGGUUUACGUGAUGAUGCUGUUCGAUAACAUGAUGAUGCACAACUCGGUGAAUCGGAAAAAGGCGAUGAACGCGAGUUUGCAGGCGCUGCAGAGCGCUGGGGUGAAUGGUGUGAUGAUGGACAUGUGGUGAGGGUUGGGAGGGAGAAAGAGAGAGGGGGUUGGGAGGGAGUGAGGGGUUGAACACCCAUAAUUUUUUUUAAUAUUCACGUGGGCCCUAUAUUGACACGUGGCGCUCAGUCAUUGUCCACGUGGGCGCUAUGUCAUCAUUUAACGGAAAACUUAACAGUUUGACUAACGAAUAUAUGAGACUGUCCCAAAAUUUACACUUCAGGUAUGACUCUGAGACGAAAAAAACUUGAUGUACCAAAUGUUGAAAACCAUAAAACUUAAGGGUAGUAAACUGAGAUUUACCCUUAAAAUUAUUUUAUGAGCUCAACAAAAUUGUACCAAGCACCCCAUGAACAAACGCCUUCAUAAAACCUUCCUAAAUGUGUCUUAGAGCAUCUCCAAGAGAAAUUAUUGUUAAACUAGCAAGGGAACAAUGCCAAAAAACUAUUUUAACUACUCAGUUUAACUUUUCAUUUCUAACGAUCCUCUAUUUUAGCUACCCAAUUCAACUUAUGAACAGUAAUGGUAUUUGUUUGGCUGCGGACAGGGUUUUUGUGGAUGGGAUUCGGGCUUUGAUUAAGCGCACUAGAUUACAGUUGUCUAUGUACGAACGGAAGCUAAUUUUGUGACACAUGGAUUGCCUCGUUAUAGUGUACAAUGUCGUGAGUCAUCGUUUUGGGUUGAAACGAGACCUCCAUGGCUAUUGCGUAGUGUCAUGGUUGAGUCCAGGGUUGGAGUUCAUUUGUACUGUGCAUGUAUGCUCUCUUUUUCCUUGGCCAAGGUUUAUCCCACUGGUUUACUCGGUCAAGGUUUUUUCCAAGACCCUUCUGAUUUAUAUGCGGUUGGUGUAAUUGUUAUGAUGUUGAUGUUGAAUGAAUUAUCCUUCUUCUAAAAAAAAAAUAAAUAAAUAAACAACAUCGUUCUAUUUUAACAAGCUUUGAAUAUUUUAUUGUUAACAAUUCAUACUAAACCCACUCAUUUUGUAAAACAACAUUCUCUCUCUUCCUUUUAUCCUUGCUCUACACUUGAGUUUUAUUAUUAUUUUUUAAUAUUUGCAAGUGAGUUGUUACACUCUAAAUUUAAAGAGAGACUGUUCAUUUUGUUAUGGUAAAGACUCCUUUACAUCAUCUCAUGGAGAUGAGUUAUCUUAAUUUUUUUUUAAAUUUAACUCUUUAAAAUAGAAUUUUGGUUGUUUUACAGAAGGUUGAUCUGGGGGAGAGAUAGGAAAUCUUCGCCUAUAGCUUGGAGCGAAGUGUGUAAUUCAAAGGACCAAGGGGGAUUAAGUAUUAGAAGAGUGGAUCAUUUCAAUAAUGUUUGUCUUGCUAUUAGGUUGGAAAGUUUUAAGGGAUGAGAAUAAUUGAUGGGUCCAAGUUGUGAAAAGGAAAUACUUAAAAAAGUCUGAUUUCCUAGGUUGCAAGAUUAAGCAAAAUCACUGUGGCUUGGAAAGGCAUUUUAAUUAAUAGACACAUUAUUCACAUGAGAAUUAGGUGGGUGGUGGGUAAUGGUAAAGAUAUCAUUUUUUUGACCCAUAAAUGGGUUUUUUCCUUACCCAAUAUUCCAUCUUAUUCCGGUAAGUCAAGGGCAAAAUAGUAAUCCGAAAAUUAAAGUUAGUGAUUUUAUUGAUAAUAAGAGUUGGCACAGGGAUAAACUCUUGCAAGUUCUGGAUGUGGAUACUGUGAGAAAAAUUUGUUUGGUGUCUAUUCCCUUGCAAGAUAAGGAGGAUUACUUUAUUUAGGACCACUCCUCUUCUGAUGAGCUUUCAAUAGUCAGCCACUUGGAUCCAGAGCAAUAAAAACCAAGAAGUGAAUCGGCAAAAGCUCCUUAAGAGGAUGUGGAAGUUAAUUAUCCCGCAUAUUGUAACAAUUUUUGCUUGCCUUCUUAUUCAUGGUAAAUUGAACACUAGGGUGAGGUUAAGUAAAUAUAUUCAAAAUAUGGAUAAAUCGUGUCCUUUGUGUGGAAAGGAUGAUGAGACUCAAAAUCAUCUCUUUCUUAAUUGUGUGUUUGCAAAAGAAAUGUGGAACUGUUCGUUGCUGAAUCCUUGGUUGAAUAAUACCGUUUUGUUGAACGAUAUCUUGGAUUGGUUGGAAUCUAUUAAUAGUGUCAAGUGCAAUAGUUUGAGUGAGCUUAGUAAAGCCCCUUUGAAAUUGCAAAUUUGGAAUGAUAGAAAUAACAAAGUGUUUCGAAUUAUAAUCCUCGUCCUUCCAGGCGCAUUGCAAUUCCAGCUAGAGUUGGUUUAUCCUAUUUUGAGGCUAAUUUAAUAAAAAAAAAACCUCUAACAGUAGCCAGUGUCAUUGAUAAAUUGUUUGUUGGCGUCCUCCCACGCAUGGCUUUUUAAAAUUGGACCUGGCUCAUCUGCCCUCCUACUUCUCAUAUACUCUUAUCUUUUCCUAUUUAUGCGGUCAUGGUUAAGUCACGUCAACAUUUUAUAUUACUAUUGUUUUUUGUCUUAUUAUCUCUAUAAAAAAUCAAUAUAAAAUAUUGACAUGGCUUAACCGUGAUCGCACAAAAUAGGAGGGAAUGAGAGUGUAUGGAAAGUGGGAGGACAGAGAAGCCGGGUCCUUUAAAAUUAAAAUUAGACAGAUCGGUUUGUCAGGAGAAAGCUGCAACAACGUUUGUUCUUAGAGAUGAGGAUGGUCAACCUAUUGGGCUGGUGCUUUGGAUCUUGGUAGUGUCAUUUCUGUUGCAGAGGUUUUUGUGUUAAAAGAUGGUCGUUUGCCAGGCGCAAAUAGGGAUGGUAAUGGUUCAGUUUGAGGACGGAAAUGUCAUAUAUAUCCCAAUUAUCACGAAAAUUAACGAUAUUCAUAACUGGAAAUGAACCAUCAGUUAUUAUCCAUAAUCAUACCCACCGGGUAACGGAUUUCACAUCGGUUAACGGUUAUAUCCAUCUUUGUCAAUAGAAAAAAUAUAUUCGUUCAAUUGACACAUUAUAAUUUAGUAAAAAUUAAUUUUGUCAUUAAAUAUUUGAUGUAUAAAAUAAUUGAAUGAAUUAAUCUUAUGGAGUAUAAAAAUUAAAGCUAAACAUUGAUGAUGUUUGUUGAUCUUUGAUAUCUUCCAUAAGUACCAUAGAAUUCAGAUUGAUUUUGAUUAUAUCAAAACUUUUGAACUUUCUCACAAAAUGUAACUCACACAAUGCAACUUUUGUAUUCUCAAAGUAAUAGAAUCGGUGAAUAAUGAAUAUCUAUACAUAUAUAUGUGUGUGCGUGUGUGUGAAUAUAUAUUUAUAUUUUAUAUAUAUAUAUAUAUAUAUAUAUAUAUAUAUUUGUUAGAUUAAGGAACUGACGGAGUUUGCACCCACGUCGUGGUGUAAGGGCAACUCUCCUCCCCACCACUGUGGUAGGCCACUUGCUUAUAUUAUAUUAUAUAUAAUUAUAUAUCAAUUAGUCAGUUUGGAUUGGGGACCCUUAUAACUAUAUCCAAACCAUAAUUGAAUAACAUUCACGAUUUUUUUCCAUAUCCAUAAUAUACUCGAAUUUUCAUACUCAAAUCCAAUCCAUCCAGACAGUUAUCCACAGUUUUCGGAAUUAAUGUUAGAAUUGCCAUCCCUAGGCGCAAAGAUGUGGAGAAGCUAGAGGUGGGAGGGGAUUAUGUAUUGAUCAUUUAGUUGGUGUGGGGGCCUGUGGAAGCCCCCAUGGCAUCUCUCACCGAUUAUUAAAGAUUAUUAAACGACUGGCGGUAGCCUUUCAGAUGAUUUGCUGGCAUCAUAUUUUUAGGGAGGCAAACUUUGUUGCAAACAAGUUAGCUCAUGUGGGCCUUUCAGUGGCCAAUCCUUAUUUUUGGAAUUAUUGUUUACUAGCCUCGGCCAUGGAAGCUUUUAAUUUAUUUUAUUUUUCGAACAAACAAUAAAGCAUAUUGCAAUCUUGCUCCAAUGGAAGCUCGAAAUUUUGUGUCACGCCCUAGAUCUGGGAUCGGUAGAAUAAUGAACCAUGCACCCGCUAGUCGAAUACAAAUAAAAAUAAAUAAAAAGAAAAGAUGAUAGGGGUGAAAAUAAAUACAAGGCUAAAAUAAAUAAGUACAAAAUUCAAUCCUCACACUUAAUACAUCUCAUCCUAUCUACCCUUUUUGAUUGUUUAGUUCAUAAGCCUGCACAACAAUAGGGGGUGAGCUUUAACAGCUCAGUAGAGACAUAACCUUAUCACACUAAAUUGACAAUACUAAAUUAAGUGUCUUGAAAUCAUAUAACCAAAUAUCACAUUAUUAGCAAUAACAACGCAUGAGUGCAAUGCAAACUCUUUGACUAUUCCCGUUAAUUCAUAUAAUAAAACAAGCGGACUUGCACAUCGCAUAUAGUGCAUUUUACCAUUGCGGUGGUAGUUCAAAUGUUCUAUUAUACAAAUUAACCCCCUGUAGCUCAGCCAUCCCAAUUUCCCCUUUUGUUAGUCGUCUUGCCAAAACUCUUCGUCGCCAAUCUCGAAUUACCAGAAAAGAAACUGUGCACUAUGGGCUCGCCUGAGACCUAGUACCUACUAAGAGUUUGGCUCAACAACACAAAAGAUCCUUUCCAUUACCCCCCUUUUCCGUAAUUCAUUUCUCAACACUAAAAGUUCCAACCACAGAUCACAAAUACUUUAAUUUCAUCAUUCCUAUAUACCACAAUAUAUUGUCAACCAGGAGUAAUUCCAUAGUCAAUAACAAACAGACAUCCAACGAAACAAUGAUGUACACAUAUCCAAGUAACACUCAACAAGAGUAAUCAACCAAUGAGAUCAACAAUAAUAUAGAAUUUCACAAAAUUUAAUAUAAUCAAUCUCUGUAAAGGUCUGCCGUAUUUUCCCUACCUAGAUACCAAAGCAAGCAUAACUCGAACUCAUUGUCCACCACUGUGACCAACUCCUACUCACAAUUACAAGCCAUCACUAAGAAGCUUGACAUUCAUCCUCACCGAUCUAGUCAAAUAACUUGGUAUUACUAAUUGAACACCAAUAAAUUCAAAUAUCAUUUGGGUUGUCUAGAUAACAUAAGUUUUGAAUAUAAAUCUCUUUGGAAAAUAGGUGCAUAUGUAUAUAGCUCACUGUAAUACCAAUACAUCAACCAAACACUAACUUUUCUAGUUGUAUAAAAGCUUUAUCAUAUGUAAUCUGAGUAAUCACUUCCAACUCUAAAACAUAUAUGUUUUAUUUCAAAUAUAGCUGAAAACAUAUGUAGUAGACAUAUAUGUUUGGAAGUUGUGAAAACUGGUUUGGUUAAUUAGUUCAAGCAUAUACAUACACUUAUUACAACAAAAUGACAAACUGAUAACAUACACACACACACACACACAUAACCUUUUGUACAUCAGCUUUUAUAGCAGAGCAGCCAAACCAAAUUGAUAAACUGAGGACACACAUAUAGCUGUUUGCACAACAACUUUUAUAAUUAAACAUGCAGUAGAAAAGGAUACCCAAAUAAGCAUAUCAACAUUUAUACUUGAUUAAACCUUAAAUUACCUUCAGUGUAAGCCUCUAUAUCACUAUAACUCUCAAUAACAAUCUCAAAAGAAAUAACCAUGAAAGGUGUUGGAGUUUUUUUUAGUAGAAAUAUCAUUCUAGCUCAUUGUCCCACAUUCCCUCACUUUAUACGACUUUGUCCUUAUUACAAAGUGAUUAAAGUGAUAGACCAUGGAGAGCAAACUUGGGCUCAACCUUGGGUUUGGGCUUUAAGAUGUGAUAAUUAAUUAAUAAUUAAUAUAUAUUAAUUAUAAAAAGAUGGGCCUUGGGGCUCGGGCUCUAAUAAUUAAAUUCAAUAAUUAAUUUUUUAGUUUAUUAAAUUAAUUUCAGAUUUAAUUAAUCUUUUUAUUUUUCAACAAACUCAUCUUUUCAAAUGAAGUCUGAGAGCAUUGAGAACGUAUGAAUAAGUCUGAGAAAAAUGUGGAGUAACACACCCUUUGCGUUGAACAGCAACCUCCCAAAAACAUGUCUGCUGCGAACAGGCAUAUGAUCGCUAUAAAUACAUGCAUCUGCAUAUCAUUCAUCCCACUGAAAACCAUCAAUCCAUACAUACAAAAUAUAAUGAGAGUACCACAAAGAUAUUCACCAGAAAUCUAGUUUUCCAGUGCUGGAAUCUCGACUUAGAUUGUUAAAUCCUAGUGAAGCAGACAUCCAUCGAACUACAAGCACAAAGUAGGGACGAAAUUAUAUUUCAAGGACAUUGCGGUACACAAAUCUCGAUCUUCAGUUUCUCCAAUUAAUAUUAAAUUUCGUUUGAUUUAUACUCUACUCAAAUAUUUAUUUGCACUUAUUAUUUGUUAGCAUAUAUAAAUUUAUCAUUGAUUGUUGAUAUUUAUCCAACAAUCUUGAAACAGAAUUAUGGAUCAACAAUCUAUGAAUGUGAAUGGCACUAUGCCGAAAUACUCUGAGAAACUUGAGAAAUUCAAAGGGCUGAAUUUCAAAAGAUGGCAACAAAAGAUGUUGUUUUUCCUGACAACCAUGAAUCUUGCUCAUGUUGUCAAGGAAGAGGCUCUGAAGUCUAAUGAGAAUCCAAUGACGAAAAAGAUUGUCAUGGCAAUUGAAGCUUGGAAUUAUUCUGAGUUUUGUUGCAGGAAUUAUAUUCUGAAUAGUUUGGAUGGCAAUCUCUACCACAUUUCUUCUAUGUGCAAGACUGCAAAGGAGUUGUGGGAAUCUCUGGAGAAAAAGUAUAAGAUUAAUGAUGCCGGUUCAAAGAAAUUUGUGAUCAGUAAGUUCCUUAAAUAUACUGAUGGAUUCAAAAUCUGUUGUCUCUCAGGUCGACAAAACCAGAAAUUGAUCUAUGAAUUGCACUCCGAGGGAUAUGAGAUCAAUGAGCAUUUCCAAGUUCGGGCUAUAAUCGAGAAACUGCCAACUUCUUGGAAUGAUUUCAAAAUUUAUCUUCAGCACAAACGUCGUGAGAUGAAUAUGGAGGAUUUGAUUCUUAGGCUACGAGUGAAAGAGGACUACAGAAAGACAGACCGUCCUGGUAACUUUGCUGCCAUUGAAGCCAUGCAAAUUAUGUUGAGGGAGGAAACUCUAAGGCCAAGUCUAGGAAGAAUAAGGCUCAGAAACCCAACCAGUUUGCACAAUCUGCCUUUUUUAUGUUUGACUUAUCUAUGCAAACCAUUUGAAAAUUAAUUGCAAAAUUUCCUCGGCCAUUAUCACAAACUGAUCCUGAUCACCAUCAUCCACCUGCUGCACUAUUUCACUUUUAUCCAAUGCACGCAUCACUGUUCUAAAAAUCACUGCCUAGCGUUGCCUAGGCGUUAGGCGGUUGGCCACUAUCCCUAUUAAUGCCUAGUCGUUUGAAAAUUAAGAAAUGCUGCCUAGACCUCCUAGGCACCCGCCUAGCUUGCGACUCACUUAGACAGAAAAUAGAUAACUCUCAUUUUGCGUUUUAUUUUUUUCAAUAAAUUAUAAGAGACUUGUUGAAUACUUAAAUGAACACACAUUAUAUGCUUGUUCCCUAUAUGUUUUCAUUAUAUUCCAAUACUUCAUAAUAUAUAUAUAUAUAUAUAUAUAUAUAUAUAUAUAUCAUUCUAUUUUGUAGUUUAUGAUGAAAUUAUAUAUAUAUAUAUAUAUUAAGUAUAAACAAACACUUAUUUAUACGAAAUAUAAUAGAUUUACUUAAAUCUACCUAGCCCCUCCCCUCUGGCCUAGCCCCUCCCAGCUUGCUGCCCGACCAGCACCUAGCGUCUUUUCGAACCUUGGCACACAUUGAUUGUAAAUGAAAUUAAUCCAUUCAUAGGUUGUAUUGCCGCGUGAUUCGUACCAAACAUCCCAAACUCAUUUGAAAUGUACUUCCAAGUUGGAGAUAUGGUUUGCAUCUCGCUUAUCUUGUACUAGAAAAUAUCAAGAUAAUUUAUUAUUAAAAAAUAAUUAUUAUGAUUGAAAACCACAAUAUUAUACCUUAAUAAUGACAAAAUUAUCUUAGCUUUCCAUCCAACAGUAAAACUUUGAUCAUUCAACGACCUAGAACUUUGCUCUAGCCAAUGAUGUAAAAUGGGGUAUAAACGGAUUAAUCAGGACUGUUGGAUCAUACAUCUCUCUGAAUGAGUUGCAUAAAUUAAAAGUGUUUACAAUUUUCUUGGGAUAAAAGAGAAAAUCUUGAGAUAAUUGGUAUUCCGGAAAUAAGAGCCAAGUAAUUGGUAUAUGAGUUAGUUAUCUUUGUGGUAGCAAAAUUUUGCCGUCUUCAGUAUUAACAAAACUAUACCUACAAAACAAUAAACACCUUCGAUCAAGGCCAAAGCCUCACGUGACGACAAGGUGGGUGGAUGAUUUGGCUAAUGGAUCUAUGAUGCCUAAGUGAGUUUCUCUGAAAAGAUGGAGUGUUUAGGGCUUAAGUGAUCAGCAAAAACUUACCAGAAAUUGGUGGAUAUAAUGUACUUAUAAGGAGGUGGACGGCCUAGAUGUAUGGUUUUACCUUACGUGGUGGCUUUCCAUUGGCCAAGAUGAGUCCUUUGACUUUUCUUCCUUGCCACGAGCUGGGAAGGUUGGUGACGUUGUAAUCUGCUACCCAAGCCUCUAAGAAUGUUGGACUGCGUGUGAGAAAAUUUGUGGGUCCUGCCCAUUUAAUGAGGGCAUUAUUGUCUUCUUUGCAAAAAUCUCGUGUGUUGUCUCUAGGAUUUUUGAAUUACUUUUGGCUCCACAAUUUUCAUAGUCUAUUCAUUCUGCCCAAGUGGCUGGUAUUUGUAGUUAUUGGAUACCUUAUGUGUUUCUUGAAUUCCUAAUCUGUCAAAGUUUCCACUCUCAAACUAAACAAUGUCUAGGUCCAAACAAUAUGUCCCAACAAUGUGGCCUGAGUGGAUGUAGCAUGAGCGGAGAGAGAGAAAACCAUAGUCAAGUUAGAAACUCAAGCCAAUAGAUAACAUAUUUUGUACCUGUAAACCCCGUAAUUUGUAAAAUGAGUCGAUUAUUUAGGACUAAUUCAUCUCCCAGUACUAGCUCUGGAUCUAGCUUAAAUAAGAUCCCAAACACAGUUAAUGAGGAGCAAAAAUUAGAGCUUCAGUAAGAUGAAAAUGUCGAGUUUCUUUGAUUGAAAUAUCCCCAAUGUAUCUAGUAAAGAAAUUAUAAGAAGAGAUGGUCAAUUUCAGCAUUUAAAAGUGAACAUCAUGUUAAAAACGGUCAAGCAAGCUUACGUUGUUAGUAAAGAACAUGAAACAUGUAAGUUAUCAGGGCUGACCCUAACCCAAUGCAAACAGGGCUCAUCUCCGGGACCCAAAAUUAAAAGGGGCACCAAAUACUUUUUUUUUUUUUAACAUAUGUAUAGGUAUUUUAAAAAAAUUCUGGUACAGUGAACCCCCGAAUUCAAGUCUCCGUUCUUCGUCGACGCUUCGAAAACUCGGUCUUUAAUAUGGCAUUCCAAGGACCAAAUUCCAACCCUUCUAUUAAUUCAAGGAUCCUUUAAAUUCUCAACCGACUUGGCUUCAAAUUCCAGAAUUUUGAAUCAAUUACCUUAUUUCCCUGCUUGAGUUGUGCCUCUGAGUCUCUGCCAUCCUGUGAUCCCAUCCUCCGUCCACUCCACAUCCUGAGGUUUUCCAGUUCCCAUCCCACCACUCUAGUCGUUGUGGCAGACGGCCUAGAAGCAAAUUUGAGGGUUGAGGUGUUGAGUAGAGUCAUAAGUCCCACUUUGACUCCCAUUUGAGCAGUUGGCCAGAGUGACAGAGCCCACUUUUUAUUCUUUUUUUUAAUUGAUUUUUGUUUAGUUUUUCAUAAAAAAAAAUUCAACUUAAUUUUGCUUUUUUUUUUUUUAAAUUUUACCAAUUAGUUUGCUUUUUACAAAUUAGCUAAUUUUGUAUUUGUAAGAUCCCACAUUGACCUACGAAGAGGGGGUGAUGUGCCUUAUAUGUACAUGCUCCCCUCCCUAUAGUACGAGGCCUUUUGCGAACUCAUUGGCUUCGGAUUCCAUCGGAACUCUGUAAUUAAGCGAGUUCAGGCGAGAGCAAUCCUAUGAUGGGUGACCCACUGGAUGGGUGACCCACUGGGAAGUUCUCAGAAACAAAAUUGUGAGGGAAUGGUAAGCCUAGAGCGGACAAUAUUGUGCUACGGUGGGGUCGAGACUGGGAUGUGACAAUUUGGUAUCAAAACCACUCUGCCGUUCGGUGCGGAUAUGCUGGCGAGGACGCCAAGUUCCCUUUAAGUGGGGUGGAUUGGAAGAUCUCACAUCGACCAACAUAGAGGGGGUGAUGUGCCUUAUAUGUACAUGCUCCCCUCCCUAUAUUACGAGGCUGCAAAGUACAACAACCGUGUGUCGUAUCAAGACUGCAAAAGUACCAAAGUUAGAGUGGCGACUGGCAAGUAAGUAAUUUUUAUAAUAUAUGUUGCCUUAUAUGUACAUGCUCCACUCCCUAUAGUACGAGGCUGCAAAGUACAACAAUCGUGUGUCGUAUCAAGAUUGCAAAAGUACCAAAGUUAGAGUGGCGACUGGCAAGUAAGUAAUUUUUAUAAUAUAUGUUGAAACUUUAAUUGAUAUGAUGUUUGUUGCUAAAUUUUUAUAAUAUUAUCGAUGAGGUUGAAGACUUGAUGGUUUGUUAAAGGUUAAAAUUUCAAAGAGUUUUGCUUGGAUUGGUUGUAUAUGACUUUGCUUUUAAUUGUCGGGGUUUAUGUACUAUGUCUUCCUGUUGUAUUUUUUUUUUUUAAGUAAUAUAAUAUGGGCGUGAGGGCCUAGCCCCCUCAGCUUUGACUGGGUUCCAGCCCUCUUUAAAUUUUUUUUUUAAUAUAUGUUUGUAUUGACCCUAACAACUACCUAGCCUAUGUGGCGCGUAGGCCGAGUAAUUAAUAUGUUAACUACGUUCUUUGGUUGAAUGCGGGGCGUGUCAACUUGUUGGUUGAGUUCGACUGGGAGUAAAAUAUGUUGAUGUGGUGCUGGCUGCGCUGCUGAUUCCUUGAUCUCGCAACUGCAACCAAGGAAGGAACAUGUCAGGGCCUUCGGGUUCUAGAGCCUGAGGACAAAGCUGCUAGUUAUGUGAAGUUCAAUAUCAAAUUCGGCUUUCAGUGUGCCGAAUGUAGUAACCUGGUAACACCUCACUUCGCCGAGAAGGCUAAUGAGAUGACCUCUUCCAACAAAGACUGGGAAAUCCUUGUUGACUGAGACUUGGAUAAAUAACCAGUCGGUCUCGAAGUAGCGCUCUCUAUCCAAAUUGAAGGUGCUCCUUGAUCGGGUGAUUUUACAGCUCAAGUGUUGCUUAUCUAAACUGAAGAUGUUGCCAAUUGCCUCCACAAUGUUGUUUAUCCAAACUAAAGAUGUGUUGGCGGAGAAAAAGAAAAAAAAUAAAAAUCUCAAGGUGUUUGAGAAGUUUGGGCAGAACAGUUGUGUGUUGAAUUAAAGGGGGUUGAAAUGUUGCAUGCAGCCCUGUAUUUAUAGUGGCUGUAUUUUGCUUAGCACGACCUGAUAGCUUUAGGGGUGGUUUGGUAUGGGAUCCCAAAUCGAAAAUUUUUGGGAAGGAAAUUUGAAGACCAAUCCCAGACCAAAAUUUCGGUAUUUCGGGAUGGUUUGUUAUUCCCAAAUUGCAUACAAAUUGAAAUAGAGAUCAUUCAUCCCAGACCAAAAUUUCGGUAUUUCGGGAUGGACUGUGGAUUAAAAGCACUGAAUGCCUUUUCAAGAAAUUUUGUUUGACAAAUUUAAACACCAACCAAGCAUCAGCCUGAUAUAUCAAGCCCAUAUAUGGCUUCGUUAAAACAUAUGCAGUGGUUUGCAUCUUCCCUAUCAAGACAUGAUUUGUCUUGAUCAUGAAGCCACCAUCUUCCAUUUUAAAUAAUGGGAUUCGUAAUACUGCAUAUCAAUUUGAUUUUGUUAACGGAAUCACUCCAUAACAACAUCCUUAAGAAAUCAUUUAACAGGCACAACGGUUGGCAAUAUUUUGAAUUGGCAAAACCAAUCACAUAUCACAAGAACUGAUUGCCAUUCUCAUGUCUAAUUUUUAGAGUAUUGGACCAACAACAAUAACGUUAAAUGGCAAAAAGCAUUAAAUAAACAAUACCUUAACAAACUGCCCAUGUCGUUCUUAAUGAAAAUCAAGAACAAUACCUUUACAGCAAUAUGCAUGUGCUUCAAAGUCUAAAUUUUAAACGACAGUUUCACUAACGUAUAUUCAAAUCAUUCUUUUCUACUUUCUCAAUAUAAAUUUUUCUUAAAUCCAUUUUUUUUCUUCUAAUUAUUGCAUAAGGAAAAUAUUAUGUCUUUAGAUUGUUGGAGCAAUAUUAGAAAAUAUGAAAAUGACAUAAAAAAUUCCAAUGAUCUUCAAGAAAUUCACAACAUCAAUUAUAUAUGAGAUUAAUAUAAACAACUAUAGAGAAAGUUAGAAAAACUGACAAACUUGGAGAUUGAGACUUACAUAAAUGUAAUGUCCUAAAGACAAAAUUUCGCCCUUACUCUUGUGCUUGUAGUUCGGUUCGGUAGGCGUCCGGCUCCCAGGAUUCAACAAUCUAUAAUCCGAAGUCAAAGCAUUUCAAUCUUCGGACUCUGGCAAACUUUAUAUAUUCCGUAUUCUCAAGACACGACUCGGAAUUUGACAAACGAAGAAUGAGAGAAAUAUAGUGGGGAAACUCUAUUUCUCAAGAGUAAAAGGAAACUCUAAUUUUCUAUCAUUUAAUACCAAUGGUUUCAUGGGUUUAUAUAGAACUCAAUUACUACUUAUUAAAGAGAUAUAACUUUUCAUCUAUAAGUAUACAUCAUUUAGCAAGAGAAUGCAUCAAAAUAACAUAACUUUUCAAAGAAAUACGGUUAAUACUAUUUUUCAUUCAAUUAUUAAAAUGAUGUAUUACAAUAUUUCAUAUUAUAAUAUAUAAUUUCCAACACAUGUUGACAAUGAAAAGACUAAGCCACCCUCGGCGACUCCAUCAUCAAGGAGUCCUUCGACGACAGCGGUUGGGGGUCUUUCCACCCACCACUUCUAAUGAUGUUCAGAGGAUAUAGUGGGAACACCACCAUCCAUGACGAACGUUAAGAUCGGCACUGACGCCGCCGAAUGGAUUGUUACCGUUGAACUCGGCUCAUAGCCUAGCCAAACUUAGAAAAGAAUCGAUACCGCUGAGCUUGAGUUGUAUUCUGAGGUGGCCUGCCAUAAAGGACAUUUGACAUCCUCUCCGAGUCAUCGUCAAGAGUCACCGUCGAGCUUGACAGUAUCAUUCAUAAUCCAAUUGUGCUCUCGGUGGGCAUGCUGCUCUAGCCUCAACAGUAAAUCGAGAAACAACCCAUGUUCUCCAUAAAAGAAAAAACUAAAAAUAUGACUUUAGCCCCUGAAACUUAAUUUUCGUUACAUAAAACCUGACAUAAUUUUUUCACUUGAUUAAAAUCCAUUGACUAGGCUCCACACAAGUAAAUUCAUUAACUAUGUUUGACUUCACCAUUGUACAUUUUUUAAAUGCCUUAUAUACCCUUAAUUACAUUUUUGACAUAUACAAUUAAUUGUAUAUGCAUUAAAAGGUGGAUUAAUGAUUUUUGAAAAGAGAAAUAAGCAUUAAUAUUCAUACUGUGAUUCGAUCACAAUAUAUAUGAUGUAAUUAAACAAAUAUGUGGGGAAUCAAUAAAUGUGCCUAAUAGUUGUGCUAAUAUAUGGAGAAUAAUUUACCUACUGUUGUGGUCUAUUUUAUCUUACAAGGUUAAAGGGGGCCAGCGGUAGAGAGAGCGAGAUUAAAAAAGAUGUGUUUGUAGAAUUGUAGGGGAAUGUGUGUUGUUAUCCCUCCUACAUUGUGCCUUUAUUUAUAGUAGUCAAAUGUGAGAAGAUAUUCCUCUUUCCCCAAGUAAUACAAGUUGUAAUAGGAAAUGAUAACUAGAAUAAAAUCUAAUCUAAGAUUUACACAAUCACACUUAAACUAGGAAUGUUUAUAACAAAUCCCCCUUGAGUGUGUAAAUACUCAAGGUAGAUUCAACAUCAUGCAGAAGUUGAGGAAGUCGACUUGUCGACACUGAUUCUAUGGAACAACGCUUAUUCUCAAUAAGGUAGGCACUUGAAUAAGUAAAUGAGUCUCACUAAAAAACCCUAAGGCUAUGGCAAAAACCCGAGUAGGGACAAAAUCCACAGUCUAAGGAAAAAUGCGUGAGAAAUGCAAAGUCAAAAGAAACGUCUACAAGACAUCAUGGAGGAUAUGACCAGCCCAAGGUGGGUGCCUCGUUAAAACCUAGUUAGGUAGCAAAAACCCAGUGGGAAAAAUGCUCCUAAUCAUAGGGAAAAAGAGUACAUUAAGAUCAAGCAAGUAUCUUCAGGAUACUCCCCCUGUGUUUGACACAGUUCCAAAGAGAAAUAGCAAAGUUACAACUCAGAAAGUUUACGCAUACCAAUUCCAUGAACAAGCUUCUGAAACGUCGUCUUCGGCAGUGAUUUGGUGAAGAGGUCGGCCAGAUUGUCUUGUGAAUGGAUUUGCGUGACUUCAAUCUUCUGAUGCUCUUAUUGUUGAUGUGAAAGAAGAACUUCGGCGCAAUGUACUUGGUGUUGUCUCCUUUGAUGUAACCAUUCUUGAGUUGUUUGAUGCAUGCUAUGUUGUCUUCAAAUAUCAUCGUCGGGACAUCAACGUGGGGAUAAAGAUCACAGAAGCUUCGAAUAUGGCCCAUAACUGCUCUCAACCAAAAACAUUCCCGAGUUGCUUCAUGUAAGGUGAGAAUUUUAGCAUGGUUAGACGAAGUGGCAACUAAGGUCUGUUUAGUUGACCUCUAAGAGAUUGCGGUGCCUCCAACGGUAAAGACAUAACCCGUUUGAGAACCCGCCUUGUGUAGAUCAUAUAAGUAUCAUGCGUCGGCAUAACCAACAAGGUGAGAAUCGACUCAAGAAGUAGAAGGUGUGACAUUACUCAAGGAUCUGUAGGGAUAGAACAAGCCUAAAUCUGUAGUACCCUUAAGGUAACGGAAGAUGUCUUUCACGCCAGUUCAGUGUCUGCGUGUAGGUGUAUUACUGUAUCUAUCCAAAAAAUUAACAGUGAAGGAGAUGUCGGGUCUAUUGCAUUGAGCUAAGUACAAUAAAGUGCCUAUCGCACUUAGAUAAGGAACUUCAGGCUCCAAAAUCUCUUCAUCAUCUUCCUUUGAACAAAAGGGAUCUCAUUUUGCAUCUAGCGAUCGAACAAUGCUCUAUCUCAAGAUCAAGACAGUAUUGAGUCUUACCUAGAUCUUUCAUCUUAAAUUUCGACUUCAGGUGCGCGGCAAUUCUCGCGAGCUCUUCAUAAGUUCCAAUAAGGUUCAUGUCAUCGACAUAUACUGCAACAAUCGCAAAUCCGGAAUGUGACUUCUUAAUGAACACACAAGGGCAUAGUUCAUUGUUCACAUAUCCCUGACUAGUCAAAUACUCACUCAGACGGUUAUACCACAUUCUUCCAGAUUGUUUCAAACCGUAGAGUGAACACCUCAACCGAAUUGAGAGCGUGUUCCGAGGUUUGGAAAUAUUUGAACCAGUUAAUGUAAGUCUUCCGGGAACUUUCAUAUAGAUUUCUGUAUCAAGAUCCUCAUAGAGAUACGCAGUUACUACGUCCAUCAGCUGCAUGCUCGGUUUUUUCAGAAACUACCAAACUUAUAAGGUAGCGAAAAGUAAUCACAUCCAUAACGGGUGAAUAAGUUUUGUCAUAGUCAAUCCCGGGGCAUUGUGAGAAGCCUUGUGCAACAAGCUGAGCUUUGUAACGCACAAUUUCAUUUUUCUCAUUAUGCUUCCGAACGAAAACCCACUUGUAGCCAACGGGCUUCACAUGUGGAGGAGUAGGAGCUAUAGGUCCAAACACCUUAUGUUUCGCAAGUGAAUCAAGUUCAACUUAGAUUGCUUAUUUCUAGUUUGACCAAUUAGUUCUACGUCGGCAUUAAUUAACGGAACGUGGUUUAAUGUCAUCGCUUAACAUGAUCUUAGUAGCUACUGCAUAUGUUAAUGCAUCGUCGACAUUCAUCUCAUUUCUACGCCACACAUUAUCUAAGCUAGCAUAAUAGACCGAUAUCUCACGAAUUUUCGGGAGGAGGAUUCGUCUCUUCAAGGACGCUUCCAUAAUCUAGAAUUUCCUCAUAGAAUGAGUAAGCGAUAGUUGAAUUCACGGUAGGUUCUUCAGAUCCUUGUGCCGUAAGUUUCCUCUUCCGGGGGUAUGAAUCCUUUGAACAAAGGGGUCUGCCACGUUUUUGUGUAGGGGCAGAUGAUUAGCUAGCCGCUAAUGUACGUGGAUCACCAAUAUUGCUGUCCCGAGCCUCCAAGAGGGAAGUCCUUCGUACAUUUGGUACAUCCAUCUUUGCAGGCGUAUUCGCAGUUGGAAUAUGUGAUCUUGUCACUUGCGCUAGAUCGGUGAAAGCAUAUGGCAUGCCUAAGUUAUGCUCUGAAGAUCUAAUAUGCACUGCACUUCAAUUUCAGACUAAGCGGUGUGGGGAUCUAAAUGAGACAAAGUGGGAGUCGUCCACGAUAAUUCGCGUCGUUCUUAUCUCCCCGUAACGACGGGGAGACUGUCUCGUAGAAGUAACAAUCCGCGAAACGAGCGGUAAACAGAUCGCCUGUCAAAGGUUCUAUGUAACGAAUAAUCGAAGGAGAAUCAUAUCCGACAUAGAUUCCCAUCCUUCGCUGAGGCCCUAUUUUUGUACAUAAGGGCAGCGAGAUCGGCACAUAUACUGUAAUUGGUUACGUAUAGAGUCCUGUAAAUUGGCUUAAUUUCUCAAAUGUAUCAAUAUGCAAUUGGCUUUAUCACCUCUCUCUCUCUCUCUCUCUCUCUCUCUCUCUCAAUUAUGCUGUAAUUGGUUAUUUAAUUAAUCAUUUUUAUCUGAAGCUCAUUGUUGGAUUAUAAAUUUUAAUGCUGUUUUGGGUGCACAUGUUGCAUUAAAUUUCGGUUAUAGAUUGAAAACUGACCAGUUUCACCACCAGAUGAAGAAACCAAUUGUUAGAACCAGAAGCACUUGAAGAAAUAAUCGAUGAUUUGGAUAUACAUUCAAAUUUAAUUACUUUCGUUUUCUUAAUUUUUUCCGUUUGCAAAAAUUGGAUCAAACAACGUAUCCAAAUCUCACUGCAAUUCUAUGGGUGGUUAUAUAGGUUAGUUGAAAUCUAAAGAAGAAACUUGAUUAGGGUGUAUUUUGUAAUCAAUUUUUUGAUAAUUUUUUUUUAAAUCAAGUAAAAAACUGAAUUGAAACUAAAACCAAACUGGAAAAAACUGAACUAAAAUUAAUUGAACUGAAUGAAAAAUCGAAAAAAUCAAACCAAACCAAACCAAAUAGUAAUUUCUAUUUGAUUUUCGAUUUUGACAAACAAUUAAACUGAAUAGAACCGAACCCACCCCUGCUAAGAAUUAACAAAAAAAUAAUAGCCACCAGACUUAUUUUUAAAAAGUAGAAAGUAGACUAUUCAUACUAGGGUUUUUAUCACAAAUGGUCCUUGAAAUUGAAAAUCAAUCAAUGUAGUCCCUGAAGGUGACGCAAAUCAAUGUCGUCUUUCCAUCACAAUUCUAUUAAAAAAUUUGUUAAGUGGUGAUGUGAUAUAUAAAUGAGUUUGAAAAGUCUUUUUUUCUCACAAAUAAUCAAAAUGGUCCAGGAAAUUGACUCGCGACAUCAAAAUGAUCUCUGAAAUUGAAAAUUGAUCAAUGUAGUCCUGCAAGUAAGUGUUUCAAAUCAAUGUAGUCAUUCCGUCAUAAUUUUCUCAAAAAUUCUGUUAUGUGAUGAUGUGACACAUUAAUAGUUGAAUAUCAGAGUGCGCAUACCACAAUGAACGAACAAACGGAUUACAAAACUAGAAAUAUUAUUUAUCAAACGAGAAUGCCGAAACGGCUACAGAAUCCCAAGAGACUACAUUGUGAAUAACUUAUUAUACUAUAGAGUUACAAAGUACCAUAUAUAUAGAAAACUAACAUAACCCUAAUAGGCAAGGAAACGAAACCCUAAUACUAACGGGCUAAUACCAAAAUACCAAACAUUAAAAUAAAUCUAAAUAAUAAUAUUUUCCAACAUUAAUGGCUCACACAAGUCUAAUUAAAUUAAAAAAAAAAUUACAAAUAAGCUUAAUAAUUUAAUGUUAAUAAAAAAAUUGUCAACCCAAAAACCCAAUCUUGCAAUCACCUCCGAUCUCAGUCCACAUUUCUAUACCUCAAUCGCUCUCUAUUCUCUGAAAAAACAAUCUCAAUACACCAAUCUUUACACACUUUGACACCCUUCACCGAAUUGAACCUGGAUUGAUAUCACCUUUGGUGACGGCUUGGCCCAUUGACAACGAUUUAUGGAGAGCUUGUUCGGGCCUUCCUUAGUGGUCUGGUGCUGCAAAAAACAACGAGAUUUGCCUUGAUAGUGAGGUUAUAACCGAGGUGCAUCCAUUGCUAGUUGAAAACUAUUUCCACAACCCUCUCAAGCCUUGGCCUUGGUUAAGCCUUGUGCCUUUGAGAGUUUAUAGAAGGGAUCUCUCUUCGGAGUAAGCCUUACUAUAAGAAAAAAUAUUUUCGUUGUGCAAAAAGGUAUUUAGUGGAAAAAAUAUCUUCGGAGUAGGCCUGAAAUUAUAAAACCACAUCAACACAUGACAAGUUUUUUUUUACAGAAUUGUAGCGGAAAGAUCAUAUUGAUUUGCGACACCUAUUUUCAAGAACUACAUUGAUUGAUUUUCAAUUUCAGGGACCAUAUUGAUGGUGUGGGUCAAUUUCAGGGACCAUUUGUGAUAAAACCCCGUAAAUCUUGUGAGACCUAUUUAUGUGCCACAUAAGCACUUAAUAUAAUUUUUAACAGAAUUGUGACAGAAUGACCAUAUUGAUUUGCGACACCUAUUUUCAGUGACUACAUUGAUUAAUUUUUAAUUUCAGAGACCAUCUUAAUGGUAAGAGUUAAUUUCAAGGAUCAUUUGUGAUAAAAACUCUUCUUACUAAUAGCUCACAAAUUAGAUUUAUAUUAAAUUUACCCUUAAAUGUAAUAUUGCAUUAGUCUUCCAGAAAAUGAUGGGUGAUGCGUAAUUCCAAGUUUCCAACUGCCACUAGAAAGUGCGGGCGAUCUUUGGUACCAGUCAACAGAAGAAAAUCUAUUAUAUUUAAACGUUGAUGAACAUGCUCAUUUCUAUUAGUAAUAAAUUAUUUAAUUUGCAAGUUUUUUAUCUAUAAAUUUAGUAUCCCUUAGAUUAAUCUAUUUUAUUUAUUCAACACCCUGACAAGGUGUUAGGUAUGCAACUUGGUUCUUUUCUAUGAAAUGAUCACAGAGCGGCCUAAGAAGUCAAGGCUCAAGCUCACCGUCGUUAUAUUUUUUAGGUUUAGGCCGUAUUACCAGGUUGCUCCGUUGGCCAGGUGAUUGUGAAAUAACAUAAAACAAACAACAAGAAAUUGCUAAGUCUUACGAAAAGAAAGAUAACAAAAAACUUCAAAAGCAACCCAAAAUAAUGCAUCAAAUGUGGCAGAGGUAUUUUUGUCAUUUAACAGUUUUUUUAAAAAUUAAUUUUUUUGUAUAUAUAUUUUUUUGAUAAUUAGUACCUCAUAAUAGGCUAAUAAUAAUGUGAUUCAAUCAGUUGUUCAUUAAAUAUUAUUUUCUCUAUUUUUAAACACAUUCAAAACAUCUUAAGGUGGGUAAUGCCGGUUAUAAAAAGGGUCUUUCACAUGCGGAAAAUAAUGUGAUUAAAUUAGUUGUCAAAUGAUUUUUUUUUUUUGAACAAAAGAUAUUAUCUACACCAAGGGGAGGGAGUAGGCUUAGCCUCACAAUAGGGUAGCAAUAAUAUGAUUCAAUCAGUUGUUUAUUAAAUAUUAUUUUCUCUAUUGUUAAUAUAAAUUCAAUAGAGACUGAUUUUAUUAUGUGGAUUCAACUACUUUAAUUGGUUUAUGAUGGUUUUCUUCUAGCAUAAUCUAAGAGUAUUCAUCUACCUAAAAUAUUUGACUUUUCUUUUGUCAAUUUACACAUAUAAAUAUAUUUAAAACGUGUAAGCCGCGCGUAGCACGCCGUAAUAUUACGUAGCUGUCACUUUUUCCAUUGAAAAAUAUACUUUUGAGGAGAAGUUUUUGCUCAAACUUGGAAUUUUAUGAAAAGAGCUUCCUUUUUCUAGAUCCAUCCCCACAAGACAAAGAAGCUAUGGAAAAAUUUACAAGUCAGUCAACAAAGAUUUUUUGAAAUACACCAUUGUAAUUUUGAUUCACCAACGCAACAAAGUGAAGUUAUUAUCUUUGAUUCACCAAGCCAUGAAAGGGAAUGCUUUGAAUUCGCCACCCAAUUGUUAUCAUUUUAAUUAACGUGGUAUUAUUAAUUGGUAUUAUUGAUUAUUUUUUGUGGGAUUAUUGAUUGAUACUCUUCUUUUUUAGUCAAACGAUAGAUUUUGUUAGAUUAGCUAACGACGGAGUUUAAGCCCACAUCGUCAUGUAAGAGCUCAAUACAUUUCCACCAUUAUAGUAAAUGCCACUUGCAAUUUAUACGUUGAUUAUUUGUUUUAUAUGCACCCAAUAAUUCUUUCAAAUAAUAUUUUUGUAACUCAAAAUCCAAUUUUGCCCUUCGGCAAUUUUCUUUCUUGAUCCAACACCUAAACAGCCAUCAAAUCAACCCAACUAACCGCCGACGACCACUUAUUCUGACGAACACUAUGUUCUUUCUUUCCUUCAUAGGGCAAUGGUUUGAUUUGAGGACGGAAAUAUUAUGUCUAUCCUUAUAAUCAUGGAAAUUAAUUAUAUUCAUAACUGCAAAUUAACCAUCGGAUAUUAUCAAUAACCAUACUCAUCAGGUAAUGGAUUUCUCAUCAGUUAACGGCUAUAUCCAUCUUCAUCGCUACACAAAAAAAAAAAAAAAAUUGAUCAGUUGACACAUUAUAAUUUAGUAAAUAUUAAUUCAGUAAUAAAAUAUUUGAUGUAUAAUAAAAUGAUUUUUGAUCAUGUGGAAUAUAAAAAUUAAAGCUAAACAUUGUUGAUGUUGGCUGAUCUUUGAUAUCUCUUAUAAGUACCAUUGAAUUGUUAUUGAUCUUGAUUCAAAACUUUUGAACUUUUCAACAAAAUGCAACUCACAUAAUGCAACUUUUGUAUUUUCAAGGUAAUGAAUUCGGUAAAUAAUGAAUAUACAUAUAUAUAAAUUAUAUUAUAUAUUAUUCGGGUUGCAUUCGAGGAUUGAUACAGAUUGGGAACCCCUAAAACCAUAACCGAAUAUAUUCACGGUUUUUCCCCGUAUCCAAAAUAUACACGAAUUUUAUACCCAAAUCCAACCCAUUUGAGCGGUUAUCCACGAUGACCGGGUUUAUAGAUUAGAAUUAUCAUCCUUAUUCCUUUCCACGAUUACCGGACCAUUCUGCCGUGGUGAAUCAUAUCCUUCCUUUCUCUGUAUACAUUCUUUUUCCUCUCCUCCUAUCUCUCCAUGUAUUGCUAACUCCCUAACAACCAGGUUGCUAGGUGAUGGUGAAAUAACAUAAAACAACGAAGAAGAAAUUGUUAAGUCCAACGAAAUAUACGACUGUUAUCUUGAUUACAACCCAUGAAAGUGAAAUCCUUGAAUUGGCAACAGGAUUGUUAUCUUUUUAAUAACGUGAUAUUGUUCAAAAGUGGAGCUGUUCGCUCCCUAAAUCCGCCAUGGUGCCUUGCGGGCAAGCCGGGGAUUUACUGCACAUACGAGAUUAGUGGGUGCAGGCGUGCCACUACUAGAGCCGCUAGUAGACGGGAUUUGAAUGAUUGAGGUUGCGCCUUUUGACCUCAAAUCAAGAGAUUGUGCCAUUUGAGUGGGAGUUGCUCAAAUUAAGGUUCUUUGUUUGCCUUAAAAAUAAGGACUUUACUUAUACGGAGAGAUAGAACAAUAUGUAAAUGACAAGGUUGCUUGGAAAUAUAAACGACAGAGGAAAGUGACUAAUAUUGCAGAUUGCUUGUGAUUUAUAUGACUGGAAAUGAGUACAUAAAAGCUACACAUCAGAUCGAUACUACAAGUGAGUAGCAGAGCUAAUAAACAAGAAAAGCAAAGGAUGCUUGGCUCAAAAUAAAUGUCUACAAGGAAGCUGAUGAGCUAAUUUGAGUAGAGUUUUGAUUGGUUGUUUUGAGUGUCCUUGAUUCUGACUUCUCUUUCUCCUUUUAUAGCCACCUUGGCUUGGCCUCCUGUAGCAAUAAUCUUGCCCGAAUGCAGUUUGAAGGAUAGUGACUCAUCAGCUAUUUACUUGUACUGCCAUCAUAAAGUACUUUUGGGCUGAUUAGCUGGCUGGUCUAUACCACUUGGCCCUUGGGUAGGUGAGCAAGUGGUGCAAAUGAUCUGCACCUAGUCAGGAAAGGCCCUUUCUGCUUUCUAGGUCUGGGCUGAGCUUUGGGCUUUUCCUUCUCUUUUUGGGCCAACUCCCUUCUAAGCCCAAAGUUUAAGUUUCAACCCAAACAGUGCCCCCUUCAAUCAAUAUUCAGACUGGAAUUCCAGGCGCCCAUAUUGAUUGAAUAUCCGCAUGCUUGUAUACUCGCUCUUGGAACUUGUGUUUUUCUGGACAGGAGGCCUACGACCAUGCGUCUCUUGCUCUUCUCACGACCUUUGGGUUACCCUCUGAGGUUUCUAUAAAUUCAUGUUUGAUUUUGCCUUUUGCUCAGUCAACCAAAUUCCUUCAACCUUCGCUUCAAUUAACCCUGAGUAUUUUUGCCUUCUUAGUUUUCUCCCCAAGACUGAGAAAUGAGCUCUUCAAGAUUCAAAUGGGGUUUCCUAAAACUCCCUUUUCGUGAGAAAAAGAGUUUUCAUCAAAUAACCACUAUCCCCAACACCCUUGGUCAGGCAUCCCGCUAUCUCCAACACCCUUGGUCAGGCGGUGCUCCCAUGAAGACUUGCCUUCCCGCUCGUUGCCAUGAUAAGUCAGGCUUCACCAUCAUAUAUGGUGAUGACUCUACCUGAGGAUCCUCUACCAGGUGUGUCUUGGCCGCACAACCUGAUCACCUAACCGGAUUCUACCCAUGAAGAUACCAGAAAACCAGCUGAGACAUCAUUGCACCUGGAAGGAGUCGUACGUAGUACAUCGGGAUUGAAUUGAAUUUGUUGUAAACUUCACCAAUUUGUCGAAAAUGAAAUAAACAAUAUCUUAACAAUCUUGUGUCUUUCUGUCUUCUUGAAUGACUGAUGAAUAUACACCAUACUUUAGCAUCCCGAAACCUGCUUUACUUUGCAUCCUCCUCGAUGUAACAAUCCCUAACAUCCCAUAAUGUAGGACAAUACCUUUCCAAGAAUUUAACAUUAAUGGUUUGUUUCUGCCAAUUCCCUUCGAGGUCCGCCAAGUAAUAUCCCCCUUUGUCUAAUAUUUGACUAACUAUGAAAGGACCUUCCCACGUCGGGCUCCACUUUCCAAAGCCCCUAAGCUAAGCUCCUAGAGGAAGAACUGUCUUCCACACCAAAUCUUCUUCCUUGUAAGAUUUUGCUUUCACCCUUUUGUUAUACGCUCGGGCAACAUCCCUCUUUCUUUCCUGAAUCUGGUUCAGAGCUUCAAUUCGGGCUACAUCUAAGUCUUCAAUCCCUUGACACAUGGCUUCAAUGUAUUCUUUGCUGUGUAACCCAAACUGAUUUUGAAUUCUGACAUAACUCACAUUGAUCUCCAUGGGAAGCACUGCAUCUUGCCCGAAGGUUAGAGCAUAAGGAAUUGUCCCUGUACCUGCCCUCUUGGAAGUUCUGUAUGCCCACAGAGUAUUCCCCAGCUUUUCAUGCCAUUUUCCAGACUAUCUAUCACCAUUCUUUUGAUAAUGUUUACCAAAAUCUUGUUGCUGGAUUCUGCCUGGCCAUUUGACUGUAGGUAGUAAGGACUUGACCGGAUCAUCUUUAUUUUGUAUUUGCUUGCAAAUUCUUCAACUUCUUUUGAAAUAAAAGAUGGCCCUCGAUCCGUCACUAUGGUUUUGGGCACCCCAAAUCUAUGCAGAAUCUUGAUCUUAAUAAAUUUUUUUACUGCAGCUGAGGUUAUGGUUUUCACCGCCGAAGCCUCCACCUAUUUGGUAAAGUAAUAUGUUGCUACAAUGAUAAAAGUGUGCCCCUUGCUAGAAGCCGGGUAAAUUUGCCCGAUGAAGUCAAUUGCCUAUCCUCUGAAGGGCCAGGGCUUGACUACUGAAUUUAAAGGCAUGGAGGGUACAUGUUGGAGAGGACCGUGCCUUUGACAUUCCUCACACCCUCGGGCAUAGGACUUGCAAUCUUUUUCCAUGUCGAAAAAUAACCAUAUCGUCUAAGUAACCACCUCAUCUUUAUCCCUGCCUGAUGUGCUCCACAUACUCCUUCAUGUACUUCGGCCAUCACUCUCAUGGACUCCUCUUAGCCUAAGCAUUUCAAUAAUAACCUGUAUGGAGUCUUCCUUAGUAGGUCUUUCGCCCAUAAGACAUACUUAGUUGCUUGCUGUCUAUUCUUCUUGCUGGUGGGUGAAGAGGAAUCUUUUAAAUGAUGGAUGAUGGGUGAUCUCCAAUCUUCUAUCUCAGCUUCCUGAACCAUUACAUCCAGGCUGAAUCCCCUUUCUAGGAUAGAAGGAAGAUUUCUCCUUUGAAUCUCGACAUCCAACCCAUAUCUUCUUUCCUGUAUUGGCAUGCCUGAGGCCAAUUGCGCCAUCUCAUUAGCUGCUAGGUUGGCUCCCCUAGGAACAUGACUCACCGAUAUAUUAGAAUCCCAAUAACUCAACAAUUGUGUGGCCGCCAAAUAGUAUCCGGCCAUGGUGAUAUGUUUGCACUUGAACUCCCCAUUUAGCUGGUUUAUUACCAAUUAUGAAUCACCGAACACCUCAACUUCCAUUGCCCUCAGAUCCAUCAAGAUUUCCAAACCAAUUAUUAAGGCCUCAUACUCUACCCGAUUGUUGGUAUUCCCUUGAUAAUCCAAGAGAAAUGAGUAAUAAUGAUAAAUCCAUUGAGGGUUGAUAAUCAUAAUCCCAGCUCCUGAAGCCCUCUGAGUAUAAGAACCAUCGAAAUACAGCUUCCAAUGAGUAAUCCAUAAACCAGCCACUUUUCUUAUCUCCUGCUGGAUCCACUCCUCUUUGCCCGAGAUCCCUUUGCCUGGCGGGAUCUAAACAUUAGUAACUUCCAGGGUUCCCGGUAUAUUGAUUAUCUCAUCUCGAGAUUCUUGAUGCUCCGCCAAGAAGUCAGCAAUUGCUUGGCCUUUUACUGCCCUUUGGGGGACAUACCUGAAGCUGAAUUCUGAUAAUGCUAGAAUCCACUUCCCAAUCCUUCCUGUUAACAUUGGCUUUGACAACAUGUACUUUAUCACAUCUGUCUUGGCGAUGAUGUGCACGUGACAAGGUAACAUGUAAUGCCUCAGCUUAUUGGCAGUAAAAUACAGAGCUAAGCACAAUCUCUGUACUGGGGAAUACCUUGUUUCUACCUCGGUCAGAAUUCUACUGAGGUAGUACACUACCUGCUCUUUCCCGCCUUCAUUAUUCUGAGCCAGCAAACUCCCAAUUGAAGCGGAGAUAUAUAGCUUUAAGGGUUUUCCCCUAUGAGGUGGUACCAAUACUGGCGGGGAAGUCAAAUAAGCUUUGAUACCAUCGAAAGCCUCUUGGUGCAGUGGUCCCCACUCGAAAUUCUCCUUAUCCUUCAGUCUUAACAAAGAAGUCAGCGGCUGGAUCUUGCCCGCUAAAUUGGCAAUGAAUCUUCUUAAGAAAUUAAUUUUGCCCAGCAACCUCUGAAGUUGUACUUUGUUGGUGGGUGAAGGCGACUCCAUUAUUGCCUGAGCUUUAUUUUUGUCGACUUCUACCCCUCUUUGAUGAACUAGGAAUCCCAAGAAAUUGCCCGCUUUCAUUCCAAACGCACACUUCUUUGGAUUCAUCUUCAAUUUAUGGAUCUUCAUUCUUGUUAAUGCCUGUCUGAGGUCUAUCAGAUGCUGUUCUUCCGUCUUGGAUUUCACCACGAUGUCAUCAAUAUACACCUCCAUAUUAUGGCCAAUCAGAUCAUAAAAGGUAGCAUUCAUCGCCUUUUGGUAGGUUGCACCAGCAUUCUUGAGCCCGAAGGGCAUGACCAGAUAUUCAUAUGCCCCUAUAUGCCCAGGGCACCUAAAAGCUGUUUUAUGUAUAUCUUCCGGGGCCAUCUUUAUCUGAUUAUACCCGACAUUUCCAUCCAUAAAAGAUAAGACUUUGUGUUUUGCUACUGCAUCUAUGGAUAGAUCUGCCAUGGGCAUAGGAUACUCAUCUUUAGGUGUAGCACCAUUAAUAUUUCUGUAGUCAACACAACAUCGUACUGCUUUUGUUACGGCUUUUAAAGCGGGUACACUGUUGGCUAACCACUCCACAUAUUUGGCUGGCCUGAUAAAUCCGGCUUUUACGAGCCUCUCAAUCUAUUCUUUGACCUUCUCUUCUAUCUCUUUUGACAUCCUUUGUGGUGCUUGCUUAACCGGCUUAUAUCCUUCCUUGAUGGGCAUUCUGUGUUCCACCAAGGUUGCAUCUAAACCCGGCAUCUUAGUGUAAUGCCAACCAAAACAAUCUCUGAAUUCUUGCAAGGGACAGAUAAUUUGUGCCUGAUCCCCACUCUCCAAUAAACCACUGAUUUGUAUUGGUCUUGGGUCCUCAUUUGUUCCUAGCUCAAUAACUUCCAAAGGAUCUUGGACUUCCGGUGGUAGCUUAUCAGGUUCUGCACACAAAAAUUCGACUAGCUCCAGGCUCUCGGGCAAGUCAUCUGGCUCAUCUAGGUCAUAUAUACACUCGGCCAUUUGAAUGGCCCUUUCCAAUUCUUCUUGACAAGAUUCCUCGUUGCUUUCAUCCUGGCUGGUUGAAGCUCCCACCUGCCAUUCCUGCUCUUCUCUGUCUAAGAGCUCAUUUUCUUGUCUUCUUCCUUUCCCAUACACCAACAGUCGUUUAAUCAGGGAUUUGACUGCCAUUACCUGAUCUUUCCUUUUUUGUUCUAUCAUUGAUGGUGUAGGGGUGUUGGGAUGAUAUAAGGUCUGUCCCACUCAUUUCUAGUAAGGAGCAUCCCUUGUUCUAGGAGCUUUUGGGCCGUCACCUUGGUAAGGCGGCCGUUCUCAUCUGCUCCCAAACACUUUAAGAUUCCUACGUUGGGAUUGUAGAAACUUGCUUCCGCUAUAUUGGUUGUGGGAAGAAAUGGCCGUGAUUCGGCCUCUACCAUCUCCCAAAAGCCUGGCCCUUCCGCGCUUGCCUCAUGAUACACAGCCACUUGUUGAUGUAGGGUGGAUGGUACAACAAGACUUUGGUGGAUCCAAUCUCUUCCAAGUAAGGCUCCAUAGGUGGAGGUGCAGUCCACCACAAAGAACGCCAGCAUGAUCUGUUAGACCCCAGAUCUACUUCCAAAGGCAAUAUCCCAAGAGUUUUGGCGAUAGCGCCCGAGAAACUAGAAACUCUGAGGUCUGUAGGAAUAAGAUCCUAUGUGCCUCUUCCCAACUUUUUCAUCUGCUUGGCUGGUAAUACAUUAACAGCUGCCCCUUCAUCAAUCAAAAUUCUUCUGAAGGGCAUUCCUUCCAAAUAAGCUGUUACAUAUAUGGGCUUUAGAUGAUUGGCAAGUGAAAUGUUCGGGCGACUGAACACCAUUUUGUCUGUGUAGAUCCUUAAAGGACCCUCUUUGGAUGCUUCAGAUGAUGCAGCUUUUCCCGACUCUCCUUCUUCUGCUAUUUCCAUAUUAACAUGAGCCAUCAGUGGCUUAGUUGAUUGGUUUUAAGCCCCCUCUUCUCCCUAUCAUCUUUCUCCCCAAGAUGAGUUAAAGACAUAGGGAUAGGUGGUCUUAGAACCGGAUCAUCUUCUUUUCUGGAGCCUACAGAAGCGUUCUCUAGUCUUUGUAGCAUGUGCAACAAAGCAGUUUGGAAAUCUUCUGAUCCUUUUGACAUAUAUUGCUUUGAUAAAAGAAUCCCACCGGGCGUGCCAAAAUAUGUUCGCUCCCUAAAUCCGCCAUGGUGUAUAAUAAAAUGAUUUUUGAUCAUGUGGAAUAUAAAAAUUAAAGCUAAACAUUGUUGAUGUUGGCUGAUCUUUGAUAUCUCUUAUAAGGACCAUUGAAUUGUUAUUGAUCUUGAUUCAAAACUUUUGAACUUUUCAACAAAAUGCAACUCACAUAAUGCAACUUUUGUAUUUUCAAGGUAAUGAAUUCGGUAAAUAAUGAAUAUACAUAUAUAUAAAUUAUAUUAUAUAUUAUUCGGGUUGCAUUCGAGGAUUGAUACAGAUUGGGAACCCCUAAAACCAUAACCAAAUAUAUUCACGGUUUUUCCCCGUAUCCAAAAUAUACACGAAUUUUUAUACCCAAAUCCAACCCAUUUGAGCGGUUAUCCACGAUGACCGGGUUUAUAGAUUAGAAUUAUCAUCCUUAUUCCUUUCCACGAUUACCAGACCAUUCUGCCGUGGUGAAUCCUAUCUUUCCUUUCUCUGUAUACAUUCUUUUUCCUCUCCUCCUAUCUCUCCAUGUAUUGCUGACUCCCUAACAACCAGGUUGCUAGGUGAUGGUGAAAUAACAUAAAACAACGAAGAAGAAAUUGUUAAGUCCAACGAAAUAUACGACUGUUAUCUUGAUUACAACCCAUGAAAGUGAAAGCCUUGAAUUGGCAACAAGAUUGUUAUCUUUUUAAUAACGUGAUAUUGUUCAAAAGUGGAGCUGUUCGCUCCCUAAAUCCGCCAUGGUGCCUUGCGGGCAAGCCGGGGAUUUACUGCACAUACGAGAUUGGUGGGUGCGGGCGUGCCACUACUAGAUGCCGCUAGUAGACGGGAUUUGAAUGAUUAAGGUUGCGCCUUUUGACCUCAAAUCAAGAGAUUGUUCCAUUUGAGUGGGAGUUGCUCAAAUUAAGGUUCUUUGUUUGCCUUAAAACUAAGGACUUUACUUAUAUGGAGAGAUAGAACAACAUGUAAAUGACAAGGUUGCUUGGAAAUAUAAACGACAGAGGAAAGUGACUAAUAUUGCAGAUUGCUUGUGAUUUAUAUGACUGGAAAUGAGUACAUAAAAGCUACACAUCAGAUCGAUACUACAAGUGAGUAGCAGAGCUAAUAAACAAGAAAAGCAAAGGAUGCUUGGCUAAAAAUAAAUGUCUACAAGGAAGCCGAUGAGCUAAUUUGAGUAGAGUUUUGAUUGGUUGUUUUGAAUGUCCUUGAUUCUGACUUCUCUUUCUCCUUUUAUAGCCACCUUGGCUUGGCCUCCUGUAGCAAUAAUCUUGCCCGAAUGCAGUUUGAAUGAUAGUGACUCAUCAACUAUUUACUUGUACUGCCAUUAUAAAGUACUUUUGGGCUGAUUAGCUGGCUGGUCUAUACCACUUGGCCCUUGGGUAGGUGAGCAAGUGGUGCAAAUGAUCUGCACCUAGUCGGGAAAGGCCUUUUCUGCUUUCUAGGUCUGGGCUGAGCUUCGGGCUUUUCCUUCUCUUUUUGGGCCAACUCCCUUCUAAGCCCAAAGUUUAAGUUUCAACCCAAACAGGAGCCAUAUAAAUUUUUUAAUGGGUGAGCUAACUAAAGUUUACUUGUCAAAUAAUGAAAUUCCUUUUAAAACUAUCUUUUUUCAAAGACUCAUGCUAGAUUUCUACUCUUUAAUCUGGGAAAAAACAACCCAACAAAGAAAAAUCUGGGAAAAAUAAUAUAGGUCUGUAACAAACGUUUCCAUUUUUAAUUGCUAUAUUGAUUUAUAAAUAAGAAAAGGGUAAUUAAGUCUCCUUAUUAUCUUCUAUUUUUCCAUAAAUCUCACAAGAAUUGGACUUGACAAGUUAAUAUCUGAGUUAUCUAUGGUUCUGGUCCCUUCUUAGAACCCUAUUGGUUGUAUGCUUUAGAUUCUGUGCGGCUUCUGUCCAUGAAUCCAAAGAAGAUGUCUCGGGUCUGUGUGGAUUGGAGUGACUAUGUCUUUGACUCUGUUGCUUAUGGUGACAAGUUCCAUUUUGAGGAAUUAUGAAGCUAUGUUCCUCUCCUGUGUUUUAGCUUGAAAUUCGUUUGGAUAUGGCUUAUAGGGGAGUUGGUUUUAGGAAAGCACUAAUUUUGGGGGAGUAGAUCUCCUUUUAGGACUAUGUGUUGUAUAAUUUGUAUUUUACUUGAGAUUAUUUUUUAUGACAUGUGCUUAUUUGUCGUUCGUCUCAUUGUUACUACCCAUUAUUUGGGAGUGCUUAUAUGAUCUGUUACUGAUGUUUAUCCAUUGUGCUUUAGCUGCUCAUGCAUUGUCUUAAUUGCAUAUCAUAUAUAUAUGCUUGAUGUUCUUGCGUGCGUUAUUUCGCCUUGAGACUUGGUCUUACCAUGACAAAAUGGGGGAGAAAGUUUGUGUUACAUUAAUUGCCAAUACUAUACCCAUGAUAAAUUUUACUUGUUCUUGUCAAGAGUUGCUUUUGUGCAGGAUUCGUU